RNAcentral lists this long non-coding RNA (88101 nucleotides) under Phaseolus vulgaris (common bean). RNAcentral's name for it is "long non-coding RNA (PVUL_LNC004833)". Lineage: Eukaryota; Viridiplantae; Streptophyta; Magnoliopsida; Fabales; Fabaceae. The record is from RNAcentral.
AUUGUACCCACCUCCUUCUCUUUUUCAUCUUGGAUCAUAAUUGUCCAUAAAUGGAAAAGGAAAGAUUCAUUCAAAUCGAAUAAAAAUAAGAGGAGGUUGAAUUGUACUUUUAAGAAAUUUUGAAAGUUAUUAUUUCAACGUUUUGAGAAAUAUAACUUACAAACAUGAAAAAAUUAUUAUUUUAGCAAGUAUGAAAGUCACAAUUAUGACUUAGAUAAUAAGGCUAAAAUAAAUGCAAAAAAAAAUAACACAUAAUUUAUAUUGAUUCAUGUCCAUACAAAUUAUAUAGGAAGUAUUGUUCCUUUGUAACUUCUGACUACAACCCAAUUUUUUUUAACAAGUCAUAUCUCAUUUACACAUUUUAAUGGCAUUUACAAGAAAGAUUUUCAACACUUAAAUUCAAUUUAGACUUAACACUUAGUAUAAAAUAUACAAGUGUUCUUAAUAAGUCUAGGGCACUCCCUGUAUAUACAAUGGAGAGCUUUAUAGGGAAGAAAGACAAUGGAAACUUUUAUAGGAAAGAUGUAAAGAUAGUUUCAAUUACCUCCUACAUUUUCUAUUUUUACAAGAAUUUUUGGAAUUUCAAAUACUUCUUUUAGAGUAAAGACUAAAAACUAGUCAUUGUCUUAGUUUCAUUGAGAUUUGUCUUAUCCUACUGUACCAUCGAUAUCAAUAGUCGAAUGUUAUCAUUAGGUAAUAUGGCUAAAUGUCCCUUGGUUGAAAGAUCAGACACCACACGAAUGAUAUGGUCGAGUCUGAUUGUUAGGGAAUUAAUAACUAACAUUUUGUACGGUACAAUUAACCUCAAAGGUAUGAAAUCUUAUUUUAACACCAAGAUUAUCUGUGCAUUUUACUCUAAUACAAACCCAAAAAAAGAGUUCAUUAGGAUCCUAUAAAUAUGCACUGCAAGGCAAAGGUACACCUCAUUGAACAUUAUUUAUUACUUUCACUUAUCCUAUAUUGAAUUAUAUCUUAGGCAUCAUAGUAUCUUUUACAGGUACCUUGUCUGAGAUUGGAUAUAUUGUUGUAGAGGACAUCGGACGUCAUUAGUAGUAUAAGAAGACCCCUUUUCAUCCUUACAAGAACACCUACUAUUUUUUUUCUUAGUCUUAUUCUUUCUUUCACUUAAAGUUUCAAUUGAAUAACUUUGGAACCUAUGUUCACAUGAAAUAUUUAACAAUGCAUUAAUUUUUCUUUAUGUUGUUUAUCUCUAUUGUGUAAUGCAAUUUCUCCCUUUUAUUUUAUUAAGUGUUGUUACGUCUUCAUGCAACAAAUAUCAUAUAUAGCAAUUAAGGCAGAUGCAUUAGUUGGUACUUUGUAUUAGAGCACCCUUUUGAUGUGAAUAGAUUUUAAACAUUGAAUCUCCGGCAAAAAUAAAAAUUGUAAAUCUUCUCAAAGCUUUUCUCCACACAACAAAGGUAUUGUUUUAAAAACACUAUACGUAGCACAAGUCAAAUCAUGAUAUAGAUUAUUGUUCCAAUAAAGUGCCUAUCAAAUAUAACAUAUUACUUAAGCAAUAAGAUUGGGGGAAAAAUUAUGUAAAUGAUUUGUACGUGUAUAUAUAUGAAAUGCAGACUAGAUAACAAAUUAUAUGACCUGGUUAAAAUUAUAUUAAUCAUUAUUUACACUAUUCAAAAUCACAAAUAAGAGAGUAUGUUAACUUGGAUCUAAUAUCCAUCAAAAAAUGAAUUUCAUAUUCCAAGUGGUUGAAGUGAUGCUAAAUUAAGUUUUAAUAUCCCACAUAAUACGAGUUGAUUUUAUUUGAUAAAGAUUCAUAAAAGAUCAUAAAGUCAAAUAUCCUUGUUGCAAUGUUCCUUAAAGAGAAUCCAAAUAUCCAUAAGAGUGGUACAAAAUAUUUAUUUUCAUAAUAUUGUGGUACAAAAAACAUUCUUGAAGCACAUUGGUUUGUAUUUCCUUGGGAUAGAAUUUAGAAGCCAUGAGAUAAUGAUAUUGUUUGUUUUGUAGUCAUGCCAAAGAAGUGAGAUAUUGUGUUGGAGGUUUAAGGAUUGAAUCAUCGAUAAAUUCAUAUUUAUUCUUACUUAGAAGAGUUACCAUCAUAUUUAUUCGUAAUAUUGAUUUCUAAACUUUUGUACACAAUUUUGAUUCUUUAAUUUUAAUCACCUAUAGUGUUAUUUAAUUAAAUUGAUGAAAAUGUAUGAUACUUGUAGUAUUUUUACAAAACUGAAGACGAUAAACUUGUAAGAUUGAAGAUGGUGAUUUUUAAAACUAAAAAUUAAUCAAAAUUAUAUUAAUUAAAAGUUACGAAUUUCAAAUUGUGUAAAAAAAAUAUUGAAAAUCAAUAUUAAUGAUCCAAAAUUACAAUAAAAAAUUGGGAAUUAAAAUUGAAAAUUUGAUAAAAUAUAGAAACCAAAAUUACAAGAUAAAAAUAAGCUUAUUAAAUUUUUACUUUUCCCAAAAUAGCACAACCUAAUUAGUUCAUCAAGAGAUAUAUAGUAAUUAAAACAACUAUUUUUUUAUUUAAUUUUGGUAGGACGAUGACAGCAAAAUUAUGUGUGUAACAUCAUCCAAACUUAAUUUCCUCUGUAACUUUUUUUUAUCUACUUAAUUAAAUACUAAUAAAAAAAUUAUUUAAAGUUUAAUUAGUAUCCAUAAUGAGUGUAAUAUCAUUUAACACAUCAUGCUUUUUUUCUCAGAAAUUAUUCGUACGUUGAGUAUUAUAUAUACUGAAAACAAAAGUUUCAGAAGUUGAAACUAUAUUGUCCACUUUCUAAUCAUGUUCUGUGUUCGAGGAUAUAUAGGGUGGUUGUUUUUAUUGCACACAAAAGCUUUCUCAUAAUAUUUUAAUGCUUCCCCAAAAACAAUACUAAAUUGAUUAACCAAAAGAGAGACACAAAAGAUAAAGAAAAGAAAACCCUAAUAUUAAAAUCACGUCCCUUUCAAAAUUAUAAUAACAACAACAAUAGUUGGAGGUCAUGGGUGUGUUACAAAUUGUUCUAGGUUAUAAAAAAAAUAAGAAAUGAAAAAAAAACACAUUAUGGUAUUUGUUUAUGCAAUUGAACAACUAAGCCAUAUUCUCUUGUGCUGUGUCUGGUUCUUGAACUCUAUCAAAAUAAUAACCAUUCGCAUGUGAGAGUCUUGUUUGGCUUGGAACUACAUUAACUCAACAACUGCCAUGUGGCACGCUGACUUUCAUGACACGUGGCACGAACAUAUAUAUAUUAGGGUUUGUACAGUUAUGUGUUCUUUCUUUCUUUUUGCAUCUUUCAAUAUUUAAUUCCAAAUGCCAGUUAACAUUCGAUCAUCCCUUCUGUCUAGAAUGAUUAAUAUCCACAAAACAAGUUCCAAUGCUUCUUUAUGCAUAAAAGGAAAAAUAGUAUACAUGUUAAUUAAGGAUUUUUGAGCAAGUUAUUUCUAUACUCAAAAUUUAUAGAGUCGUGAAAAUUAUUGAAAUAGAUUUUACCCCUUUUAAUUAACAAUUACUUGUAUUGUUAUUUAACAAUUACUAGUAUAAUUGGGUUUGUUUUUUAUAAGUUUUUUAGAUAGUAAAAAUUUCGUAUAAAUUGAUACUCUAUAGACAUAUGAGUGGACACAACAAGUUAGAAUAAGAGAAAACAAUUUUUUGAUAUUUGUUUGUUACUCAUGUCCAAGUUUUUAUUUGAAUCAUCAUGAACAUUUUUAUAUCAUCCGCUAUGAGAUUAUUAAAAAUAACAUUAUUUCUAUGAGUCCAUAUGAUUCAUACUGUGUAGCAAUCAACAUAACUUUCAAGAUUUGAUUGCAUUUUCUAUUAAGCCAUAUAUGCUCAAAACCUAAAACAUGUAAUUUAACAUUAUUGUGAUGCACUAACAAAAUCCCUAACCAAGAAUCUCACAUAAUCCAUAUUUGGUUAGCCACCCUACAAAUGAAGAACAAAUGACUGAUGGAUUCCUCAAAAUUAUCACACAUGACACAUAUAAAUUUAUCUACUUGGAUACCUUUAUAAGCUAAGUUAUCAUAUAUAACUAUUUUAUUCAGAAACAUCCUACAAACAAAAAAUAAAGUUGAAAAAUGGUUUAGUACUCUACAAAAUUUUAUAUAUCUCUUCAUCCUCCCCAACUAAAUUACUUUGAAUCAUCAUGUAUGUAAAUUUCCCAAUAUAUUCUCUUGUUUUAUCUCCCUUCCACACCCAUUCAUCUAAUUUCUCCAUUUGUAUAUUGGUUUUCUUUAUCAGUUGUAACAUUUUCUCCACCAUUGGUUUUUCUCAUUCAAAUUAUUCCCUCAUUUGUCUAAAUGUCCAAGUUCAUUGACUUACUUACCAUGUUCUGAUCUCUCCUAUUAUUAACCCUUUUUUGUAGAAUUAGCAUAUAUUAUAGGAUAUAUCUCCUUUAAUGGUUCAUCUCUUAUUCAUGUGUCAUUCUAAAAUAAAAUCAUAUUCUCAUCCCCAUUUUGUCCCUUUAUAUUAUCCAUAAACCAUUUUUCUUUUUUCUAUACCGGAAAACUUUCUCGAGAUUCUUCCACCACGAGGAGUCACACUUACUAUCAUUUCCUUAAAAUAAUGAAUGUCAUGUUCCAUAUUUUGAUUUCAAGAUAUCCAACCAUAAACCACUUUCCAAACACUAUUUGGCAUUUUAAAAAGAUAUAAGAAGCAUACUGGCACAACUGAUUUUUUUAUUAAAGUGAUCAUUCUUGCUAAGGAUAUGUGUUUCUAUUACGAAGUGAACUUUAAGCCUAACUCAACCCCAUAAAACCGGCUCAUAGGGUUGAGGUUUGCACCCACUUAUAUACAAUGAAAGGCUCUAAUCUCUAGUCGAUGUGGGAUCUCCAAUAGUUUCCUUUCCAUUUAGCUAGCCUCUUUUUAUUUUUGCUAUCAUUUCUUGACAAUAUUCUUUCCUGCUAUGAUUUUCCCCACUGUUAUACGUAAAUAGGCAAAUGGAAGAUCCAUAAUACAAAAAUUUAAGAUCUCAAAAAAUCUAAACAAAGUAGAGGGUCAUAUAGGUUGUACCAUUAUAUUUAUACUUUGGUUUAUUAACAUAUAGUUUCAAAUUACCUAUUCUUUUGUUGUCCAACUGCUUCUCUAGAGAUUUUGGAUUCAUGACUCCUUAAAUUCUAAGAAAGCCAAAUCUUCGUCCCCUUUUAUUCAACCAACAGGAUAUGAAAACAUCAUCAACUUUUCCCCCACCUUCAAACAAAUUUCCACAUUUCGUAUUGGCCAAAGUCUAAUGAAAAAUGAUUAAAAAAAAAGAAAAUAUUUGUAGAGACUUCUUUCAUAUUCAUAUUCAUGACAAACAAUGAUAGCAUCAAACUUUCUUUGUUUGGAUAUGAUUCAAAUGUUGUGACAAACGAUGAUAAAUCAAACUUUCUUUAUUUAUAUCCGAUUCAAAUUCUCUAUAAUUUUGUUAAUAAUAACAAACUAAUUUUGACUUUCAUGCUCAAGUAUAUUAAUAAAUAAUAUCUAACUCAAUUAUUUUUGCUAAAUUUUAUUUAGAUUAUUUAAGAUUCGAAUAACUUAAAGAAAAUUGCAUACAAACAAAUAGUGCAUUUUCAAAUAUAUUAAAUGUAUGAAAAAAAAUAGUGUUAAUGCUGUAUUUAUCACUAUUAUAUGUUACAAAUUUUAUCACUUAAAUUCUUUUUUUUCACAUUUUACUAUCAAAGUUUUUUUGGCAUUUUAACAAUCAUUAAAUGUUUAACAAAACGAUGGCAUGCAAAAAAGUAUUAUUUUAUUAUUAAUUUUUAUAAAAUAAGGUUGAUUUGAUCUGAUUUUUUUUGCGUGACAUGAGUGUACUUUGUUCGAAAUUUAACAAAUUAAUAAUCAUGCCAAAAAUUAAAAAUUUAUGAUAAAAUAUAAAAGAAUAAACCAUAUAAACUAUAACUAAUGAUAGAUGAAUAGUGAAAAUGUAUAAUUAAGCUAAAAUAUAUCAUAUACAUGGACGAAUAAUUAUGAAUUUAUGUGUAACAUUUUCAUGUGAUUAGUAUCAUAAACAAAUGCAAGUAGUUAUUAAGUUCGAACACUCUUUUUAAAUGGCGUGUCCGUGUCGAACACACAUAUCGGACACAACACUCUUAUGACACUAUUCGAUUAAGUGUACAAUUCAAAAAAUAUUUGUUGGAUUUCUGACAAUUUUAACACAGGUCUAAUAUAAUUUUAAAAAUGAGAAAUACAUUAAUUUUCUAAAAGCUCAAAUUUAUUGUAUAAAUUUCUAUUAUAUUUAUAAAAAUAAAGAACAAAUCAUUUCAAACCAGCCAUAAAAAAACAUCUUUCUAUUCAGAAAAAAAACUGAAACAUACUUAAAUCUUUAUUAUCAAUUUAUAUAAUUCAUAAUUAUAUAAUAUAUAUNNNNNNNNNNNNNNNNNNNNNNNNNNNNNNNNNNNNNNNNNNNNNNNNNNNNNNNNNNNNNNNNNNNNNNNNNNNNNNNNNNNNNNNNNNNNNNNNNNNNGUAGUUGUUAUUAUAUAUAUAUAUAUAUAUAUAUAUAUAUAUAUAUAUAUAUAUAUAUAUAUAUAUAUAUAAAAAGAGUAACCACGAAAUGAAACAGAUAUUUCCAACAAUUGAUGCCAUAGAUUUGUUAAGAACCAGGGAUACACGAAUGGAAACGUGGAAGGAUGUCACUUUUUUAGAAUAAACAUUAAUGUACAAAUUAAAAAUAUAAAAAAUGAUUUGUGGGAAAUCACACCUUCUUUGAAUAAUUUAUGCUAUUUGUUCACUUUAAAAACCAAAUUGGAUUACAACAUUAGGUUAUUCUUUUAAGAGUGAGGUUAUGGUGGACCAUUGUUCAUAUAUGGUGGAUAAUUUGUUUUUCAUUACACUUGUCUUAAAAAAUUUAUGUAAGUUUUGAAAUUCCCCUUUAUAUGUGCCUUCUCUUCUUGCUUCUAAUCACAUUGUAUUAAAGAAUUAUUAAUAAUGAUGUGAUGAUUUUUUAGAAUUUCUGGAAAAUUAUACUUCUAUUUCUUCUCAUUUUGUCCUUUAAGUUGUUUUACAUGAAUAAAAAUGUACAAUGAAUUUUUCUAUUUUCUUCUUACACCCUAUGAUAAAUAUAUGUGUAAAUUAAUUAAAAAUUAAAAAUACGUAAAAUAUAAAGAUAUAUGUAUAAUUAAAAAAUAUCUAAGAGUAAUUAGCCAUUAAGUGCAAACAGCUCGAAGCAAAGUAUGUUGCUUUAGACAAAACUCCUUAAUAAGCGGAUUUGCUUAUAUAUUAAGUUAUAUUUGGGUUAAUGUGAUACACUCUCUUUCAAUGGGUUUCUAAAUUAGGUUAAGUUAUUUUAUACACACUAAUGAAAAAAUUUAAACACAUAAUUUUUUAUUGAUAAAAUUUAUUAAAUAAUAAAAGUUGGUGAAUUUUAUACCUUUUUCUACUCAUUAAUAAAAAAUAAUCACUACUAGAAAAUCACUAUUCAUUAAAUAGUAACGAUAAAAAAAUAAUUAGCUUAAAACUUGAAAACGUCAAAUAUUUUUAGGAUAAACUACUUUUAUAAGUUCACCGAAAUAUUAUGACAAAGUAUAUGUCUAUUUUAAUAUAAGCUUAAAAAAAUUGCAUAUAAAACUAAUAAUUCAAUAUUUAUUUAGUUAGCUUAUUUUAAAAAAGAGAGAAUUUAAAAUAACUUGGUAUGUGGUUGAUUUAACUUAUUUUUAAAUGUUAUUAUUUAUUUUAAUUAACUUAUAAGAAAGGCUUUUAAAAACCAAGUGAUUAUUUUAAAAAAAAGUUAUCCCAGAUAUGCUAAUACAAAUAUUGUUCUGUUGGUCUCUUCAUUAGUAUCAUCAAUGACACAUUUUAUACAAUGUGUUGAUUUUAGUAAUCUAAUAUGUACAUAAACUAAAAACGCAAGGUUUAUUAAAAUACUGAAAAGAACAUAAAUACUUUUAGUUAUGUUGGAUCUUUAUAUUAUGACCUCCCAUAUUAUUUGCACCAAAUAAUCAAAACAGUUUUAUAAACAUAUAAGAGUUAAGCUAACAAUUUUACACCAUCAUCAUCAUCUACGACUACAAAACCCAUUAAUCAUAUCUUAAUAAUUAUGAGUAAUUUAUCAUACUCUGCUUAUUUUAGAAGAUUUGUAUUGGACAUUCAGCAAAAACUAAUGUUUGACUCAUUUCAAACUCUUCUAUACAAACCUCAAUUAUGUAGUGUGAAGAAAAAUUUUCUUUACACAAAACAAUAAACCUCCCCUAAGUUCUAUCUACUACUUGAUAUCUUAAUUUAUAUUAUGUAUUACACAACUAUACUAGAUCAAAAUAUUAUAUAGAUAUUUGCAUGUAACAUACAUAAAUAAGUAUAUCAUACAAGGGCAUACAUGUCAUCAUUGUCAAAUAAUUUUUUUUUAUCAGUGAAAAAUAAAUAAAAUAAAAUAAGACAAUUCAGGAGUGUCUCAACUUUUAUACAAAAAAUAGUUUCGACUAACCAAUAAGUAUAUCAUACAAUUACAUACAUGUCAUCAUUGUCAUCUCAUUUUUUUAUGAGUGAAGAAUAAAUAAAAUAAAAUGAGACACUUUAAAGGUGUCUCAACUCUUAUACAAAAAAUAGUUUCGACUAACCUACUCGAUACUUAAUUUACAAAAAAUUAUCAUACUCUACAUAUCAACAAACCAAUCAUCAAAACUACAUAAAAUAGGUCACAUCAAAAGAAUUCAGCAACACUCAAUUAUACCAUAUACAUAUAGAUAUUAUCUUUAUUGUUAUAUAAAAUAAGAAUGAUGUAGGUUGGUGAGAUUACAUCCUCAAAUUUAUUUUAAAAUUUGGCUGGAAUUCUUGAAACUUCCUAAACAAAAUCAAAGCACAAAAAUGUUUACCACCUACAACUACCUAGGAGAGGUAGCUCAACCAAAUUGUAUAUAAAUUGAUGAACUUUUAAGAGGAAGAAAUUAGUGUAAUGAAUAUAUAAACUAUAGUGGAAAACACCAUUCCGGUUUUUCUUGCCCUAACUUUACCUCCUCUAACCUUGUGCUACAAAUGCAAAUAAUUGACCACCAUGAUCUAUAUAUAUGUCUUUGUCAAACAUAUUAAAACAAAGUCACUAUCAUUUUCAGUUAGGGUUUUUUUAUAUUCUGAAAAAGGCACAGUACAAUAGAGUACUCCUAUUAGCCUAUGCCCUAAACUUGGGACCAAGAUGCACCUCAUUAUAACCAUCAAAUUUAGUUUAAUCAUUUGUAUAUGGAAACUUGCUUUUAAGGGUUCUUCAUAAUCUCAUCUAAACGUGCUUAAUUCUUAUUCCUUUAGGAGGUUCCAAUCCACAUAAUAUUUGAGUCCUUGCAUGUCUUGGUUUUUGCGUUGGGAUCUUCCACAAACAUUUAUCAACUACUUUAUUAAUACAUAACAGGAAACAACACAAAAGCUUGUUUUGCUAAAGAAGGAGGCAUCAUGAGUUUUUUUAUUUUUUUAAUCUUAUUUUUAAGAUUCAUGGUCCUUUAUUUUUUUUUAAAAAAAAAUCAUGUUGACCCUUUAUUUUAUUUUUAAUCCAUCAUUAUCGUUUUCAACUUCUCAACAUGAUUUGAAUUUUUUUUUAUUGAUUUGAGACGUGAAAUGUCUAUAUUAUAUUGAUCUAAGUGAGAAUUCAAUAAACAAAUGAACUUAAACAUAAUGGAAAUUGCAUGAAAACUGAAUCUAACAAGCAAUUGAAGAACUAGAACAAAUUGGUAUAAUUUUUUUGGUUGUUCAUAUGUUUCGGUUCAAAUAUAAGUUGGAUUUCAUAGUUUCUAUGAAGGUGAAUUAUUAUAGAAUAAGUUUUUUUGAAGAUCUCAGAUCGACUAGAGAUGAGGACAUUUCAUUGUGUAUAAGUGGGUGCAAACUUCACCUUAUGAGUCGGUUUUAUGAGGUUGAGUUAGGCUUAAAGUUCACUUCUUAACAUGAUAUUAGAGUAAUUUUUUAGCACAUCUUAGCGAGAAUUUGUUGGAGAUCCCACAUCGACUAGAACUAAAAUGAUUUUGUAAAGAUGAAAUAUAUAAAUAAAAUCAUAAAACUAAUAUGAAAAAUAAAGUAUAGUUCUUUUAUUCUUAGAGCAAAGGGAGUUAGAAAAGGUUCAUUUUUCCCUUAAAUCCUAAUUCAUUGUUCCUUCAUAUGCUUUAUAUGAAACAUCACCAAUAAAAUUAUUUAUAUAUAUAUAUAUAUAUAUAUAUAUAUAUUAACAAGAAGAAAAGGACAUGUUAGAGUUGUUAAUUAAUUAGUAAAUAUAAUUAAGGGUUGAUUUGAAGGUGGAUGGAUGAUGACUUGAAUCGGACACAAAGGUUCCUUCCCACAUGGUGGUUCUUCUUAUUUGGAGCUAAAAUCAAUUUGGAUCCACUUAAGAGUUCUUAUUAUAAUAAUAGGGUGUAGUGGUUGUUUAUCUUAAAAAACUAUGAUCAAAAUCAAAGUAUGUGAUUUAUUUAUUAAGACCCAAAUAAUGCUUCCUUGGUGCCCAUUCCAUUAAAACUGCAUUAUUAUUCCUAAUACUAUAUUUAUCUUGCAAAUGGAAGUGCCUUUUUUUCAUGAUUCUUGGGGUGGAACUAGCUUUUCUUAACAUUCUUUCUGUGUGUGGCAAGUGCCUUUUCAUUUUUGUUUAUGGCUGGAAGUGGCUUAAGAAAUUUAUACACUUACCCUAAAAAGAACUUGGGCCACUCGGCCCAAUGUUACUACCAGGGAAACACAGUAAUGGUCUUCAUUUUCAAGUUCAAGUGAGUUGCGUUUUGCACCCCGAUAAACUAAAACCUAUAUAAUCUAAAAAUCUAUUUUUCUCCUUUUAAAAUUGUAUUUCGGAAUGUACAGUUUAGAACACAUCUGUUACAUUAUUCUUGGAUUUUUUAAAUGUAUUUAUAUUUUAUUUGAAUUAAUUUCAAACGUAAUUAGAGUUAUUUUAUAUUUUGAACAUAAAUCAUUUAUUUAAUAUAAUUUUUUAUUAGAAACAAUAUUCAUAAAAAUUAAACACAUAAUAUUUGAUAUAUUAAUGAUAAAAUAAAUUUAUACAAUAUCAUUGCUAAAUUUAAAAAUACAAAACUUAAGUAUAUUGUUAAACUAUCUAAGAAUUAGAGUUAUGUCUCUCUCAUUUGUUUCGUAUAAUACUUAGACUUCUAGUAUAAAUGAUUCCUCAUGGUGCCACAGGCUAACUACAAUACAUUGUGGGUUUCGCCCCAUCUUAGAGUACCUUCGGCCACAUGUCCAUAAUCGAUUAUGCAUUGCAGAAUAUUAGGGAUCCUCCUAAAUGUACCAUGCAUUAAUUGAACUAGUGCAUUAACAAGUUGAAAAAUUAUAACAGAAGAUCGUGGUAACACAAUAAUGGACAAGCAUGCUCAUGCGGUGACGAUGGUCGUGUUUGUCCAUCACUCGAACUAUGUGAUCGACAACUUAACAAUACAUACCAUUGAUCUUCAUCUGCUCGAGGAUGUAUAUAGAGGUAUGCCACUAAUUUGAGCUGGUGCAUAUAUCCAAUCGCUCAUGUUGAGGGAUGUGAAACUAGUGUCACACCGGUAACAAGAUGGUCAACAAAUUGCAAUCAUUGGUCAUUAAUGACAGUAACUACACUUCCUUCCAAAGGUGGAGGAGGCCAAGAAAUCGUAUGCUCAUACCCAAACUAGCGUAGAACAUGCUCAGAAAAAUAGCUUUGUGAGCAUGUCCAGAGCCAGAUGUAUCUCGAGAACAUGACUAUUGUCUCAAACAGUCGACUAGAAUGAUGAUCAUCAUAAGAACUCAAAAGCACCACAACAUGGAUAAGACCAUCCAUCUGGACGGGCACAACACCAACUACAUAUAUAUGGCGCUCGAUGACAUAACGACACGCCCGAGGGAGGAACUCCUAAUAUGUAGGAGUGAUAUUCCUAAUUAAGUGUUCAUAUAUUGACAUAUGAUCUAGGAUGAACAAAUAUUAUAUUUUUUUAAAAAUAAAUCUAAAUUAUUCAAAUUAUGUGUAUUAUUUACUUAUAACAACGUCACAUAACCUCCUAACUGCUUUGUUUGUGCAAAGUAAGCAUCCCAAGCUGAUUAUAGAUGUGGGUAAGUGCGAUAACUCCCCAUGCAUACCCACCACACAUUCUCAAAUUGUCAAAUAGCGGCAAGUACGACACAUUAAUCAAUGUCGUACUUUUAUCAUAAAACAUUAUUCACCCAGCCAAAUGCAACAAAUAAGUGCAAGCUAAAAACUCCCAUUUGUGGUGUACGAUGCCCUCCUCGUAUCUCGUGUGACCAACUCAAUCGAACAUGAGCACCACGACACUGCCUUUGUUAAACGCUGUAAGCAUAUCAACAUACCAUCUAAUGUGUACUCGUUCCCCUUGUGAACCUUAGUAGUGGGUCAAGUUAUGAUUGGAUGAGGGAAGUGAGAAUGUUGAGCUCUAAGAACGUUGAUCAAUAAAGUAAGUUGGUUGAGCUUCCUUGGUUGAUGAGGAUCCUUUUUAUCCACCAAUUGGCUAUUGUGGUUAUGAUAACGAUUGGAUCAUCUUGUGCAAGGUCGUUAAUGCAUAAGUCUUCAUUUGUAAAUGUGAUGGAUUAUCGAGUUUAUGCUUUGAAAGUUCACUUUCCUUGCUAAACUUGUAGUGCCUUCCCCAACAAACCCACCAACAUUAGUAUUAAUCGUCCCUUUGAUGUCAUUGGGAUUAUGCUAAGGUUGUUCUCUUUGUUCUUGCUCAAGUUGUUGUAUCCAUUGGUUCUCCUAGUGAUUUGCUCUUCCCCAACCUUGGAAUCUACCACGAAAUCCUCUGCCUUGACCUCUCCAACCUCCUCGUCCAUGACCCCAUUUGGUUUAACCGCUAUGCACAAAAUGUUCCAAAGCCCUUGAUCGAACGAGUUAUUUUAUCAGGUCAUAUACUUUAUGACAUUCUUUUAUUGUGUGACCUUAGUUUUGAAGAUAAUUAUACCUCUUGAAUAGAUCAAUAAAUGGAGAGUAUGGUGUGGUUUGGGGGACUCGUACUAGAUUAAGAUUGAUGUCUUAUGGAUGAUGGUGUCUCGACUAACAUUUAGAGGGGUGCAAUUUUUAUAGUUGCUUACACAUAUUUUCUUAAAGGUUUAUGUAGUAUUCAAAGGAGAGGAAGAUUGAGCAUGAUAUUUCAUCACUAUUUUUCAUACAUCCGAGUUUUCCUCUAUACUAAUAUAUCAUGUUGCUCGAUCACAAAGCUCGUCCAUAUUGACAAGUGGAUCAUGUUAUUGAGCUAAAGAAGCUAAAAGAUCAUGUUAACAAAGUGUUAAGAUUUAGUUAAGGUUUCCAUAUAUUUUAGCUAAUAAACUAUACAUUUACUUCAUAUCACAUUUUUCUUUAAGUAAUCUAAACAUAAUCACAAUAAUCGUCAUUUUAUUAAAAAAAACUAAUUACUCUACCACCUAUGAGUUCAUUCAUCUAUAUAAAUAUUAUUAUAGUAAUUUUGUUUAUAUUUUUUUUUCGUAAAAGUACUUCAUAGAGUGUUUAGAGGAAAUUUUUUAGAGAAAAAUUAUUUUCAGAUAAUUUAAUUUUUUUAUGACAAAUAUAUUAUUUUGAUAUAAAAAAAUUUAAAAAUUGAGUUGCAGAGAUGUGUGAAAGUGAUUUAAUUAAUUAAAUUUAAAUAAAUUAAUUUUUUAUUAAAAAAAUAAGAAUUUCUAAGUAUCCAUUUUCUCUCACCUAUAUAUAUAUAUAUAUUAUUUUUUUCAUACUCUCUUCAAAUUUUGGUUAGAACACUUUUAAUUUGGUUAAAAUUAAGAUAUUUUUGACUUGGUUAAGAUUAUGGUUGAGGGACAUAUUUCUUUUGGUAGAUAAGGGUGAAUUUUUCUUUCAAACUAAAAUUAAUCAUGUUUAUUUUUUAGCCAAAAGUCAAUGUUGUACUUAAUAUAUUGAUGAGAAUAAGUCAUGAUACCAUAUCUCGUACCACAAAAUAUACAACAUCAUGUAUAUUACAUAAUCUCAUAACAUAGAUUCAUUUCAUAUGCAUCACAUCUAAUUCAUAAACAUGUACAUAUUUCAAUACAAAUAUAUAAACACACAUCAUCAAUAUGUCAUACCAUGUAUGUCGCUUAGUGACCACUCGUGUCGCUUAAUGUUAUCAAUGUUACAUAAAUGAUAUUAAUUAUACACAAGAGAUGAUUAUUUUGACCUCUCUCUUAAGGAAAGAGAAUUAACAUUAAUUCUUUAUCACUUAAGUAUCACUUUGUCGCUUGAGUGACAUGACUUAGCGUAUAAGCCAACUCAUUUUAGAACACUAUCUCAAACUCAAACUCUCCAUCACUUGAGUGAUGGGAAUUUUAGAAGAGAUAUAAUUGUUCUAAUAUCUCUCUAACUCAAGCAUCAAGUCAUAGCUUGAUAAUGAAUAUUGCUGCUUGAGCAAGCAUGAUGACACUUAAAGAAUGGAAUUUGGUGCAAUAAUGAUUACUCAUUGCUUAAACAUUACUUAAGUGACAUCUUAACACUCAAGUAAGAUAUGCAUAAAAAACAAAAAUUCAAACUAAUUUGUGAACUAAUAAUUAAAACUCCUUCUACAAAAUUCAAUCCACUCCACAUGAUUUAAAUGCCCAAAAACACCAUAUCUUGCAUUCAAACUAAUUGAAAAACUAAUCAAUCAAAACUAAACUCGACUAUCAUUACUAGAAAAUCAUAAAAUGAAAAUCAAUUUUAAAGAUGAAAAAUAAUUAAUUGUUAUAUUAACUAAAUUAGAUACUAUUUUAGAAACUAAAAAAAUUAUUGGUAUCUAAAUUAAUUUCUAUUAUUCUAGUUUUCAAAUUGAUAUCUAGUUAACUACCUAGGUUUUAUCUACCAAUUAUUUAAAUUUUAAAGUUGAUAUCUAAAACUUUGAUAGCUCAUUAAAUAUUAAUUUAAAAAUUAUUUAUCAAUAAUAAAAACUAAUUUAGAUAUCAAUAAAUUUUUUCUCUCUAAAAUAAUAUUUAAUUUAGUUAAUAUAACAACUAAUUAUUUUUUAUCUUUAAAAUUAGUUUCUAUUUUGUAAUAUAUUCCAAACCUUAAUUUAAUCUAAAACUGAUAUACAUAAUUCAAACUAUAAUUCCAUUUCAAAAAGUUCUGAACAUCAAUUCAAAACAACAUUACAUUUCAAUACAUCUAAUUCAAAAGUUAAAUAAAUAAAUGUAUUUAAUUAUUUCCUCUUACCUAAAAGUAAUAUGUAAUAAAAAAUAUCUCCAAGUAAAUUGUGGUUCAACACAUAUUUAUAGAUGUUUUUUCAAAAACUUUUUUAUUCUUCUUUCCUUUAUUUUAAAAGUUACAUAUAAUAUAGUUAAAUUUGGUCUUAUGAAGACAGGGAGAUUAAAUAGAGAGAAGUAAGCAUGUAAAAAAAAGUUAAAAUGAGUUUAUAUAUAUAUAUAUAAUAUAAUAAUUGGUGAUACCUAAUUCAUUAAUAUCUAUAAACUUUAGAUAAGUUUUAAUCUAAAAAAGUAAUGAUUGAUUAUGUUUUAUUUUCUCACUUUUUGCACUCUAUUUCUUCACGUUUCAAUUUCUAUAUUUCCAAAUAAGACACGAAUUCCAAAAUUUGUUUAUUUCUCCACCCUUUUGUUGUUCCAAACUAAAUUAUAGGAUUUUUAGUAUCAGUGUAAGAGAAAAAGUAAACUCCAAUAAAUGAAUUUUUAUAUUAUAUUUUUAGGAAUCUAUAAUUUUUACAAUGUGAUUUAGGAACACAAGACUAUCAAACUCUAAUCAUAAAUCAAUAAUCCAUGCAAAGAAUCAUUAAUGAAUAAUUAUAAAAAAAAUUAUAAUUUGUUGACACUUAAGUGGUUUUGAUGUGGAUGAGGAUCUUAUUAUUAUUAUCACGCUUUUCUUUCUCUCUCCCAAAAUGGAUUCCCUGGUGAUGAUAGAGCAUUCAUUAUUUCAGUUAGAAAGAAGCACGAGUGUCACAGGAAAACAAGAAGAUAAAGCAGUUAUAAUAAUAUUAUAAUAUUAUAAUUAGAGUAAGAUAUUAUUUAUUUAUUUAUUUAUUAUUAUUAUUAUUAUAAUAUAUUAUAAUUAUGCAUAUAGAAGUUCCUGAUGCAAAUGUCAGAAAUUGAGGAGAGAGAGAGAGAGAGAGGGAGAGUGAUAGACAGAAGAAGAUAUACGAUUGGAAGAGGAAUAUAAGUAUAUUUGAAGAAGGAGAAAACCCUAAUUGGAGGAUGUGAUGUAUUGCGCGAUCGAUGGAAAAACCCUAGAAUCGGAGUAGGGGCGCAAUUGACGACGACGUAGAUGCUUGUUGUGGUUGGAGUGUCGUGGGAUCUGAAUUGGUUCCUGCAACUGUUGCUCUCCGUGAUCGUCGUGGCCGUUGGGGUUCACUUUUUCGUCAAGUCCACCGCUUCCAAGUACUUCGAGGUCGACGCCAAUUUCGAAGGGGACCACCACCAAGCCCUCGCCGACGCAAUGCCCGGCGUUCUCUCCUCCGCUGACGAUUCUCUCUGCCCCGUCUGCGCCGUCUGCGCCACCCCCAGCUCCAAGAAGUGCUCGCGCUGCAAAGCCGUCCUCUAUUGGUACGGUUCCUUUCUUCAAUCACCAAUGUGAUCGUUAUCAUUAUGUGGCGUUUUAUUAAUUCGUUUAUCUUUUUAUUUGUUUUUAAUUUAUUUACGUAUCAUCUAUGUAUUUGUUUGAUUUAGUGGUAGUUUAGAGCAUGUACAAUUGUGUUGGUGGUUUGAAUAGUACUGGAGCUUUGUUUGAAAUUUUUAAGUAAAGUUUUGAAUUGGAGUAUUGUGGAUGAAAAUUAUAUGCCUACAUACUAAAAGUGGUUAGAUUCUCGUGUAGAGAUUUGUCAUUAAUAAAAUCGGUAGAUAUUUCGUACUAAUAACAUAGUUACCAACAAAAUAAGAAUGUAGCUUUUUUUGUGUGGAAGUUUUGGUUGUUACUUGUUAUUAAUUGAGUAUGUUAUGUGGUGUGAAAUGAAUGUGGGUUCUGCUGAUAAAAUUGACGAGUUUCUACAUACAUAUAUAUAUAUAUAUAUAUAUAUGUGUGUGUGUGUGUGUAUUUAAGAAAUUUGGUGGGAAUAAUAUUUUUAUUUGAGUGGGAAAGGGGAGGGGUGGCUGGAUUAAUUUGUAUAUGUUUAUUUGGAAUUUGCAGCUCCCAAGAAUGCCAGCAGUCGCAUUGGAGGUCUGGGCAUAAGACAGUAUGCAAAGAUUUUCGUGAAGUCGGUGCAAGAAGCCCGACCCAAAAUGGGGUAAUUAAUCGUGGGUUUAAGUCUUCUGCUGCUGGGGGAAAGAGCUCGUCUUCGAUUGCGCUGAUACCUGGUUGUGGAACAAUUUCUAGGCCAAUCAAGCAGCCUAAAGAUGUAAGCUUCUUUAGUGGAUGUAAUUACAAAUUCACGUUAUGUGCUUUGCUUACUGUUGGUUGUGAAAGGGAAAGGGCAAUCCGAGGGGCUAGGUUUUAUUUCCUUGAGAUGAUGUGCAAAAGGCAUGCAGCGUAGUAAAUAAAAUCUUCAUGUCAGGGGAAGAAAAGGAAAAUAGUAAUACAUGUGACUAUUUUGCAUUACUGUUCCUUAUUAAGUUAUUAUACAAGAUAAUAAGAAUAUAAUGAUUUCCAAUUCAGAAAAGGGAAAAUAGUUGUACUUGUGACUGUUUUUCAUUUGUCUUUCUUAUAAGUAAAUACACAAAAUAAUAAGCUUAUCUUACUAUGAUUUCCAAUUAAGAAAAGGAAAAUAUUAAUGUGUGCCUAUUUGCAUUAGUCUUAUAUGAUUAUGAUUUCCAAUUUGCAAAAACCUUAAUCUACUUGCUGGAAAGGGACCUGAAAGACCAAAGUUGGUUUUAUUGUUUUACCCCUUCAGCUUCAAUGAUCAGAAUGGUAAAUUGUUGGGCUUUUAGAAUUUUUAUGUAAUAAUCAAUAAGUUACCAAAGGUGUGCUGCUCCUCAACUUCAUAAGGCAAUAGUGGUGUGCUCUUGAUGUUUCUUUUCUGGGUUGGGACUUUAGACCCUUGAUAUUUGGAAGUCAGAUUAGAAUGUUGUGCUCUUUACUCAGCGGGCAGUUCCUCAAUCAGCACGAGUUGCUGUCCCCUUCUGGAGCCUUCCUAAAGUGCCUUAGUCUCUGAUGUUAUUUGUUUACAGAGCUAAAUUUGGUUUAUUUUCUCAAAUGCACAUUAAAAUAUAUGCCUUGUCUUGUUUAGGUUCUUUUUCCCUAUGAUGAAUUUGUCAAAUUUUUUAACUGGAACAAGCCAGGAUUUCCUCCUUGUGGGCUCUUGAAUUGUGGAAACAGGUUUGCCCAUUUUCAUGACUGAGCUUCAACUUUAUUUCACUAUUGUUGUAUUUGCAAUUAGAGGGUAUGGGAAGUAAUUUAUAUUUAUUGCCUUUUUUUAGUUGCUUUGCAAAUGUGGUUCUUCAGUGCCUCUCAUUCACAAGGCCACUUGUUGCCUACUUGUUGGAGAAGGGUCACCGCAGAGAAUGUAAUGUCAUAGCUCAGAUCAUUAUUUCUGUGAUCUCAACUAUUCCUCAUGCUUAUGUCAUCAUUUUUUAUUCUCCAGGCACUUGUAAUGAUUGGUGCUUUCUAUGUGAAUUUGAAAAUCAUGUUGAUAGAACAAGGCUAAGUUCACAGGUGUUUUCUCCUAUGAAUAUUCUCUCUCGUUUGCCUAAUAUUGGUGGUACUCUGGGCUAUGGAAGACAAGAGGAUGCUCACGAGUUUAUGAGGUUUGUUUUUCCUUUUAACUAUCGUUUCAUUUUUUGUGUGAAUUAUUCAUUUCUGUUUUGAAUAAUCUCUUGAUGUUAUAUUUCUUUUGGUAAAUGUAGAAGGUAAUUUUUCCAAUACAUUUUUUGUAGGUUUUCCAUUGAUACCAUGCAAUCUGUUUGCCUUGAUGAGUUUGGUGGAGAAAAAGCUGUCCCUCCUAACCUCCAGGAGACUACCCUUAUUCAACACAUAUUUGGUGGCCGUCUACAAUCUGAGGUUGGACAUUUAAUCAGUUUGAAAUAAGCUUUUCUUGUUACUUUUCUAUUGUUUGAUUACGUGUAUAAUGCAAACAGACUAAUGAAUGAUGAUGUUGGCGUGGGAUGAAGUGAAAUUUGCUUUAUUUUUUCUCAUCUAUCUUUUGAACUUUAUAAGUUGUCUAACAUAAGAGGUAGGAGUCCAUAAUUUGCAUCUCUAUUUAAGGUUUGACUUUGUAGAGUUAUUUAAUAACCUAUUUGGUUUCUAUUUGAACUCCAUUUGAUUAUGAUAACAAUGAUAUUUGUUUACAAUUUUGAUCUGUAGAAACAAGGGAAUCAAAUUACAUAACCAAUUUUCUUAUAAAAACAUUUUGUUCCACAAAACUGUUUGCAAGUUAUGCUUUUUACAGAAUUGAUUUCAAAAAGCAAAGAAACAAAGACUGAACCAAACAUGGAUAGUUGGAUAUGCCCCCAAAGUCUCUAGUUUGUAAUUUUCUGUUCUCUUUGAUGAAAUUGACUCGAAGGCUGAAUUUUGUUUCUCUUCCUUCCAUGAUCAAAACUUUAGAUUUUGAGUUUAUUGUGCAAUACAUAAUUAUUGGAAAAAGCCUUUUCAGUACUACAGAAUAAAGCCUUUUAUAUAAUAAUGUAAAGAAAAUGCAAUUUUCUAUUUUGAUAAUGACAUGGAUGUGGCUGUCUGUUUAUUCUUUUUUCUUCUGAAACUAAAUAGGUGGUUUGCACAAAAUGUGAAAAGAUUUCAAAGCAGUAUGAAAAUAUGAUGGAUUUGACAGUUGAAAUUCAUGGAGAUGCUGCCUCCUUGGAGGAAUGUCUAGAUCAGUUUACUGCCAAGGAGCGACUUGAUGGGGAAAAUAUGUAUAAAUGUGAGGGGUAAGGUUACUCUUUCUAUUGAAAUAUACUUGUACCAUGUACCAUGCCAAUGUUUAAUAUAACAUUGCAAAUUUUUUCUUGCCACUGGUGUCAGUAAUAAUAUUAAUUAUAAUAACUGUUUUUGUAGUUUGAUGAAUUGAAUGGGGAGGAUAAGGUGAUGAUUUUAGAUUAUGAAUUGAACGGGAAGUUAGCCCUCCUCGGUCGGGGGAGAAAAUUAAGUCCACAAUGAUCUUCUGUGGCGGUAAACCAUGAACAGUAACAAUGUAAUAAAUUAACCAACUUAACUAAAUUAUUAUCUUUGAAACUCAAUUUCAAAUUUGGGCUUGGAACUAUAAUAUAGUCACUGAAUUAGUCUCAUCUGCAUAAAGUUUUCCUCAUCUCUUAAUUUUGAUAAGAUAACCAAGAUAUCGGCUUAUAAGGCUUUUGACCAUCUAUAAAAAUUAUGCAUCUGCGUUCUUGGUUUAGCUUUUAUUAAAGAAUUUGGAAGGUGGUGAUUAUAUGAUGUCUCCUGUCAAAUUUCAAACUUGAAGUUCAUUUAUGACGAUGCUUUGUAGUUUUCUCGCUGUAGCAAAAUGUGUUUUGCUUGAGAAUUAACCAUAAAAUUGUCUUUAGUUUAGCAGUUUCUUUUGCUCUGAUGAUACUGGAUUUCUCAUUCAAGUUUGUUUCCUGCUUAAUGCAGGCUUCUGAUUUUUAUUUUGAUUUUUAAUUUUGAUGUGUAUUUGGAUAACUGAGACUUAUAAUUUUGGAAAAAAAAUUAUAAAUAGGGAAAGUUUCAAUAGUGGAAAGUAAGUUUUCAAUUAAAAUAUAAUUCAAAUAUGUGCUUUUGAUAAUGUAUUUUUGCUGUUAGGAAUAUCCUGUUGUUAAAGAAGUUUUCUGCUGCUUGUCAGGUGCAAGGAUUAUGUCAAGGCAUGGAAACGCCUUACUGUGAAAUGCGCUCCAAAUAUUCUUACCAUCGCCUUGAAAAGAUUUCAGGUCUUACUAAUAUCAUCUAAACUUACAUACGGCCCACUAGUAUACAGAAGCAUGAAAGGCUUGAAUUGUGAAUUAUUUUUGUGAACUUUCUCAUUUCUUUUUUUGGGGUGUUGUGUACAUGCAGAGUGGGAGGUUUGGGAAACUUAACAAGAGAAUAGCCUUCCCUGAGGCUUUAAAUCUUAGCCCUUAUAUGAGUGAAGCUGGAGAUGGAUCUGAUGUUUAUAAGCUGUAUGGUGUUGUAGUACAUAUUGAUAUGCUAAAUGCUUCAUUUUUUGGUCAUUACAUCUGCUACAUCAAGGACUUCCUGGGGAACUGGUACAGGAUUGAUGACUGGAAGGUAGAUUUCUUUGUCUCCUAAUCUGAGUUUGAAUAUUUUUCUUUUCGGUAAUCGAGUACCCUGUCUAACUUAAACUGUCAGUAUCCUCAUUUGUGUUCCAUCACAUUUCUCAGGUUACGACUGUGGAGUUGGAAGAGGUACUUUCUCAGGGAGCAUACAUGCUUUUGUAUAGCAGGUAUUAUUGUGAUUCUGUUAAAGGCUAAUGCUCUCUUUAUUUCUCUGUCACACACCAAUAAUUUCAGAGUAUGUGGUUCGUAUUUUCACAUAUUUCUUUCCCAAAUAGCUGGGUUCUGUUAACGUUGUCUCAAUGGAGCUUGAGUACAAAUUUAGGUGAUUUUGUUGACUAACAUGGGCUGUAUUUUGCUCAACUUUGUAACUAUUGGUUAAUUUGGUCCCUGGCUUUAAUGUGCAUUAUAAAUGUAGUCCUUACCAUCUUGUACCAAAUUGACUGGUGGUUUCCUAAUCCAAUUAAUAGAUUAGGUAAUGUCAGCCACAAAAAUUUUAAUGAUACAUUUUCAUGAAACUAGUUGAUAGACAGUUGUUAAAGUUAGGGAUGCAAUUUGGUUAUUUACAAUAUUUAAGGAUUGAAUUCAUUUGGUGCCAACUUUCAUAGAUUAAUUAGAGUUUUAUUCAUUUUGUAUAUACAUCAUCAAGAAAAGAUUAAGUUCUGGUGUUUACUUUUUUGUCAAGCUUUAUCUUUCAUUUUGCUCUGUCAUUGCCCUUUUUGAAUGAUAAUAUUUGUCAGUUUCUUUCUCGAAAAACUGGUAAAGCAAUUUUCAAUUUGAUCCUGGACAGGUGUAGUGCCAGGCCAUCAGGCCUUCAAAUUCAAACUAGUGAAUCUUCAGGGAUAGCAGAAGUUCAAACAACAGAAGUGGAAGUGGAAGUGGAGUCUGGACAAACUGAGCAAGAUGAAUGCCUCCUCUCGAAUACGAAGAUGUUGACUUGUAGUAGCGGUUCUGAGGUUUUGCCAUCUGAUAUUAGUCCAGACUCAAAUGUUUCUUCCACGUACGACUGCGAGUCUUCUGCUGGAUUGAACUCAGAAGCCAAAGGAGAGCAGUUUGAGGAUAUGGGCAUGAUUAAUGUUGAUUCAACUGGUAUUGCAAAUGAAAUUUCUUGUAGUGCUGUUGAAUCAACAUCUGUGCCUUUUUCUCAACCCGUCAAUGAUUUGGGGGAUGUAGAUAUAACGGACAGAUCAUUUGAAGAGACUUCAGGCUGCAAGGAAGAGCAAGAAAAUACUGAUAUGGUUAGGUCGUCUGGCCCUUGUCCUGGUUCACCAAAUGACUCUUCCUUCUUCGAUAAACAUUCUUCUUUUUCAAGGGAUCAUCGAAACGUGGAAGAGGAUUUAGAACACAUAGCUGUGGUUGAAGGCAAGUUGAUUGCAGCUAAAGAUAAUACAUAUUAUGGUAAUGGAUAUGUCAGUGCAAACGAGUCUUCUAUUCCAGUUGAAGACGCUGGCAAAAUUUCUGGCAUCGGUUCUUCCCACUGAAAUGACAAAGGAAAUGGAAAUAUCAGCUGACAUCUUCUUGGUGCAGCUAUUUUUGUUAUUUCUUCUUUAUCAUUUAAUUAUCCCAUCAUCGAAAAAGGUGGUGAGUUGGGAAAUUUUUGUCCGGGGUUUCAUUAUUUGCAAUAACCUUGGAUCUUAUUUGUAACAAUUCUAGAUGAAUUUCCUAAUUUAUUUUUUCUGAUAGAAUAUAAUCCCUUUGUCCUUAUGUUCUGAGUUUCCUUUGAACUCCCAUUGUUGACUUUGGUUUAAUUAUUUUGAAAGACAAUUUUUUAAAUAAUAUUUAUAGUUUCAAAAUUUUAGCCAAUGCAUAAAUGUUUAUUGAAUUAAUUAAUUACACUCAAAUGACACUAUUCUUAAUCGGUGACAGAUUUAAAUCGAGCAUUAUGAAAUGGUAUCCAUGGAAAAUUCCAGCGUCCUAUAAAAACCAAAACACUAUCAUGUUAAAAGUUACAAUUAAGAAUAUCUUUUCCAUUUGAGAAAUGUUUUGUAUAUAAAUUCAUACAAUAACAUCUUUGUCUCUGUUCCUCUAAUUAUUAAUUAUUACAUGAAAUAAUGAUAGAGAUCGAUAAAAAAAAAUGAUACUGCAACAUUUCAUUUUGAAACGAGACUGUGUUUUGAUAUGUAUCUGAUACAGAAACUUUGAGUCCUUAAUCGUGCAUCCAUUGUCUUGUUGAAGCCCAUGAACUAGUUUUGUUUAAGAAAAUUGUGAAGAUUCCAUGGAGGAAGUUCAAUAGAGACUUUUUAUACUUCUUUUGGUAAAGGCUAAUUUAAGAAAAUAAGGUUGUAUCAUGCGUGGAUUAAGACCUUAGCGGCUUUUGGUUGUGCGAGCAUCUGGUAGAGGUGAAAGCACACGAGGAGCAGGAAAAGAAAAAGAUCACAACUAACGGCUUUUGCUUUUCAACAUUUUCCCUUCCCACACUAAUCUCUAACCCUUUGGUUUGUUGCAAUAAAAAAUACUUGUCUUGUGGAUGGGGCUUGAGCAUUGACUUGCACAAAAACGACAUAGCAAAGCAAAAGAAGACAAAGAUUCUUCAACGAGGAGCCAAAAGGGAGGAAGAAUAGAGGGUUGCUUCUUGCUUUUGCUCUAGGAAGGUCAGCCGAAAACCACACGAGUCCCAGACAAAACCCAACCCUUCUUCCCUUUGACAUUGUUGAUAUCCACUUUGAAACAACUCAGUGGUCCUUUCUCUUUCUUUUAUGCAACCUAAAAUCAUUAAACUAUUGCCCCAGCAGUUUUUUGUUUGCGUGCUGAGUGCACCCUUUUUCUCAUUUUUCAGCCCGAAUCCAAAGCAUAGGUAGCUAGCUACUCUAAGGCCAUUAUCAAAAGUCAACCACUUAUGCUCUUCUUAUCUAAUCCAACGGCAUAGGAUUUUAUGUUUUUAUGAGUAAGCAACACACGGGUGUGUGGUGUGAAGUGUGAAGUGUGCGUGUGCGUGUGCCUUGUCAUCACAUGAUACUGUCUCAAGUGUCAACCAUCCGAUAUCCAACCAAAAGAGUUCCACAGGAAGCUUCCUACCUCUCUUCCUACUUGUUGGGCUCGCUUUCCCUUUUCCCCUUUUUCACUUUCUUCUGAUUUCCUCCUCCAAACUCCUUUUUAACACACACCAUAUUGUGUUCUCCGAAACAUUCACUCACUCACUCUCUGUUGCUUAGAUUUCCUAUCCUAUCCACCCUCAACACAGGACCAACUGCUUCACUUCUGUUAUCAGGUACUUGUCUUACCUUCAUUACUUUUGUUCUUGUCUCAUCGUUAUUCUGCCCUUUGCUGGUUACUCACGAUUGUUGUAAUGAAACCCCUUCUGUCUGCUUUAACUGUUUCCACUAUUUUCUUUUCUUCUGCGUGGAUUUCUACCAGUAGGGUUAGUCAGGAAAAGGAAAAGAAGGAAAUUUAUCUGGAUUUUGAACUCUCAAGUUUCAUGUUUGCUUCUAAAGUAUAGCUUCUGAGGGUUUUUUUUUUGGGGGGGGCGGAGUUGGGUGCUUUAAUUGGUUAACAAAAUUCAAGAAUGAGCCUUGCAAAUUCAAGGGGUUGGAGAAAGAAGGGGAAAAUUUUGAUCUUUUUGGGUGAAGAUAAGAACUUUUGGCGUUACCCAUUUAAUUUGGAAGUCUCAAUUCACAUCAAUUGGCCUUUAUUAUUGGUAAAAGCUAUUAAAGUGAGAAAAAAAAUCGAUUUAUUGAUAACGUGUAUUCCCUUUGUUGUUUCUACAGUUGUUUCCUCCAAAUUUGGGGUCAAUGGAACACAGUUUGAAAAGAAAGUGUCCAGAAAAUGGAGACAAUUUAGUCUUGAACAGCUUUUCUCUGGAUGACCUUAAUGAAGAUCUCUUAGAGAGGGUGCUUUCAUGGCUACCGACUUCCUCCUUCUUCCGCCUUACUUCAGUGUGCAAGAGAUGGAAGUCAGCUGCUGCUUCUGUGAGUUUCAAGCUUGCCUGCUCACACAUUCCCUCCAGGGAUCCUUGGUUUCUGAUGGUUUCUCCCAGCCUCAACCAAUCUAUUGUCUUUGAUGCUGCUGAAAACAGUUGGAAAAAACUCAAUCACUUGCGUCUUCCGCUCGAAGACUCCAACAUAAACUGCAUGCCUGUUGCAGCCUCUGGUGGCCUGGUUUGCUACCGCAAACUUUCAGGAAACUUUGUUGUAUGCAAUCCAGUGACCGGAUCCUGUAGUGAACUCCCUCCACUGCAUUUCCCCUCAGAAAAUCAACCUCUCAAUGCCGUUGUGAUGAGUACAACUUUCAGAGAUCAAAUCUCCUACAAGAUUGUGUUAGUCUUCGGUGAACUCCCUAAUCUUAUGUUCAAAGUCUAUGACUCAAGCUCUUGCUGUUGGGAAGAGGAGACUGCACUGAGGAGGGAGGUUGAUGACAAUUCCAUUGGUUGUGAUUCAAUUGAUGAUGACCAUGUUGUGUACUUCCUUAGCAAGGCUGGUACAGUGGUGGCUAGUAGCAUGCAGAGGAGCCCAUCUAAGCAAUAUUCCUCAGUUAUUAUUACUCACAAAGAUGGUCAGGAAAUGGUGUAUUUCCUGAGCUCCUCAGGGACAGUAGUAGCUUGCAAUUUGACAUCCAGGUGCUUUUUUGAGUACCCCAGGUUGUUGCCUGUUUUCAGUGAGUACUCCAUUGAUAUUGUGGAGUGUGGUGGUGAGAUGCUGGUUGUUUUGUUAUCAGAGUUCUUGGAGAGCACAAGUCUUAGGGUGUGGAAAUACGAUGACCCGAAUCGAUGCUGGCAACAGAUUGCUGCAAUGCCUGCAGCAAUGUCUCAAGAAUGGUAUGGAAAGAAGGCAGAUAUCAACUGUGUUGGAUCUGGCAAUCAGAUAUUUAUAUGCUUGAACUCCCCUGAGCUAUGCACUUACAUUCUAUGUGAUUUGGCGACCAACAAUUGGACCGAGUUGCCGAAAUGUUGCAUGAAUGGAGAAGUCAUGGAGUUCAUGUCUGCCUUCUCAUUUGAGCCGAGGAUAGAGGCUUGUGUAUGACACUGAAGAGCCUCAGCCUGGUAUCUUGAUUUUGGUUAUCAACUGUUUUUUGUUGUUCUUCUGUUAGCUUAAAUUUCCUUCCACCUUGUACUUGAAUUUGUCAUGCAAAAUAGCUAGGGCUGAUUUGGUAUGAAAGUAGAGAUGGAAGCUCUAACCAAAUGAUUGAUUUCUAACUUAGAUAUUGUAUUGCUCUCCAUUGAUUGUUAGAUGUACAAUGUUUUCACUGAAUGGCAUUAUCAAUGAAUGCACCCUAUGUUAGAUACAGAAUGCUCAAAUACUGAGUUUCCUAAAGUCAUGAUUUGAUCCAUGAAUUGUUUCUUUAAGAAUCCUUUUAGUCCUCAAAGAUAUAUGAUAUCAAUUUGGUCAGUGGAAGAAAGUUUACUUUAAUUUAGUUCUUCAUUUAUGCAUAGUAAUGGUUUAAAAUCACACUUUCUGAUACCAAAACACUGUUAAUGAAGCUGUUAAGCUUCAUAUUUAGAUCAAAAGGACAUGUAAAGUGUGUGCAUGGCAUUGUCUUCUUUCUUUCUUACUUUAUGAUCUUGUCUUCAAUGUAGUGCCCUAACCCUUUCCUACUACACCUUGCACUAUAAAGUCAAAGCAGAGAAAUGCAUAUUCAUAAUCAUUGGACAAACUAUUUUAAGAGGGUAAUUCAUUCUCUAUAAAUAGAAUUUAAAAUGAUUUAUGAGAAAAUAUAUUGUUGGGAUAAAUUGAAUUUUCAAAUUUCAUCAAAGUAAUUGGUUUACUUAAGAUAGGAGAAUUUCAAAUUUUUACUAAAAAUGUAAGAAUUUGAAAAUCUUCAUAUUAUUAAAUUUAUGUUUUUUUUUCGUAUUUUCUCCUUAAUUCGAUUUUGGUUGAGAUGAUUGCUUCUUUUUGGUUAAUAUCGACGAUAGUUUUUUUUUUUUUUAUGUUAACCGGAGUUAUUUUAUGAUUUAAAUUGUUAAAAUUAUUUUUGUUUAUUAUAAACUAGAAUUUUCUCGAUCAUUGUUAGGAAGACAAUUAGAUUUUUCAAUUGGUAUUUGUCCUGAUAAUUAGAGUGAAUAUUUUUGUAACGUUGACAUGGAUGUUAUUCUUUGAAAAUAGUUUUUUAGGGUUUUUUUUCUUCUAGUGUUAACUAGAAAAACCGACAUUGAUUAAAAAAGUUGAAGAACAACCAAACUAUCAAUAUAGUAAAAAUAAUUUUGAUUGAUGUCAACCUAAAUAACUUUUAAAAUCAAUGGAAAAUAAUCCCGGUUAACAUUAAUCCAAUCUUAUUUUUUUCAAACAUAAGUUGAAAAAAUCUUGAAUAUGUGGAUUACUUAAAACUACAUAAUUUUGAAUUCGAUUUAAAAAAUAAGAAUUUGAAAUUUAACAUAUUUUCAAAUUCAUGUGUUUUCUUAUCAUAUUUUUUCAAUCGAUACAUUGUUGGAAUAAUUACUUUUCGAUUGAUGUUAAGUAGAAUUUUUUUAUUAAGAUUGAUAGGUGUUAUUUUUUAUUUAAAUUGUUAUAUAAUUAGUUUUGUUGUCAUUGUAGAUCAGUGUUAUUUUUUUACUCAAUAUUUUGUUGGUUAAUAUAAGUGUUUUUAUAUUAAUUUAUGAUAAAGUUUAUUUUACUUAUUUAUUUUAUUUUAUUAAAAGUGUUUAAAAAAAAUUGAUCUACACAUGUAAUUAAUAAUAUGUUGGCAAAAGUUGGCAAAAAUUAAUGACAUACAUGAAUUCACUAUUUGCUUAAGUGAGUCACAUAUUGAUUGAGGAAAUCUACGUCAAAUGGACUACAACUAUGUAAUUGGAGCCUCACUUGAGCAAAUAUUGCGAGGUUUGAGUGAAACUACAACACAAAUGUAUGUUCAUGUUUUGCUUGAGCAAUUUUGUUCCCGUCUAAGUGAGAUUGAUGGAUAAUACCUUAUGUCUACUCUUGCAUGGACGAAUGUAUAAUCGUUUGUAAUUGGAAACUACGUUCAUGACCAAGUGCUAAAUAAUAAGUUCAAUAGUAAAAUAAAAUAUGGAAAAGAGGUCAAGAACAUAUUGUGCAAAAACAAAUAUCAAGGUUACCACUUAGCUAAACUGCGGUCACCAAUUAUUCUCAUAUGCACCACUGAAUUACCCCACAAUUGUUCACACAAUGGAUUAUUUUUGGCACAAUCCAUUCCUUACAAUCCUCAACCAAUGACAUCUUUUACAACCAACACAACAUCACUAAAUGGGCAACACAAGCACUUUCAUGAUAUUGGGGUACAAUUGGUCAAGUCGACAAACAAAAGUCCUCAUUUGAGGAAACUACUAACUCACUUCAUCAAAUCCAUCACUAGAGCAAACCAUGAUGUGCAUCAAAGGAAGUCGGGUCACCUCCCCAUCAUCCUUCUUGGCCUUGUGGGUAAGACUUUGAAACAUGACAAGUGUGCAAAACCUCACACUCAGGUAACUACAUACACAAACAUGGGUAACCAACGAUUGUCAACUUCGCCAACAUAAUACCCCACACAUUGGGUUAUCUUUGGCCACAUUCAAAGAAAUUGUUAGAAUGGUUGGCUUUAAACUAGAGGGGGGGUGAAUUGUUUAAAGAGGGUUUUCGCAAACUUUUAAGUCAAGAAUGAAAUUAUCUCAAGAAGCAAUUGAUAAGGAAUCCAGUUUGCCAAAACAACAAGCAAAAACAGCAGUACUAGAAAACAAAAACAAAAACUGAAUUAAAAGAGAUUAAGGAUAGAGAGAUUGCACACAGAUGUUUAUACUGGUUCACUCUAAACCCAGAGCUACAUCUAGUCUUCUCAGAAACCACUGAGGAAAUCCACUAAGCAACCACACCUUGAUGACUUACACCACAACCAAGAAAGUGACCUUGAUCCCCUCAAGACACACACUUCUCUUGGCCAACACACCAACACUAAGAUUUCUUAUCUUGAUCCCCUCAAGAACACACAACAAAUCUUAGCAAACACACAAACGAAACUUGUUUAACAGAGUACAAGGAUUACACUUGUUACAGAAGAUAAUCUAAAAUCAGUACAAGCAGAAUCUUAUUCCACACACUUUGAUCAAUCACAAACUCUAAGCAAUCUCAGCUCUUUGAAAAACUCAAAAUUUGUAUUAAAAACUUGUUACUCAAAUUUGUUUUUCUGAAUUUAUUCAAAGAUGUUGUUUGUUAUCAAAUCUUAACAAACUCUUAAAUUGCAUUUAAAGAUUGGUCAAAGCAUUUAAAGACUGGAGCGUAAGCAGUUAAAUCAUUUAAAGCAUUUAAAGCUCAGUCAAAGAUAAAACAGUUUUUCUGUUAUGGUACCAAAACAAACAAUCGGUUGUUUCCUCGAAUCAAUCGGUUGUUUUGGUUUUAACAGCUUAACCAUUUGAAAAACAAUUUUCAAUCUUUUCUAAAAGCAUCUAAGUAUAAACAAUCGGUUGUUUUGACAAAACAAUCGGUUGUUUCUAACUUAGUUUGAAAAACAUUUUUCUUUCAAAAAGAUUGAGAAUGCCUAUGCUUUGGAUUCAAUCAAGAGGUGAAUUACAAUACACAAUCUACCCUAGAUCCUAACUAAAACAGCACAACAACAGCAAACACAACCAAGGCUUCAACAUCCUUCAAAGGGUUUGGAUUCUUCAAAGCUUGAACACCACUUGGUUCAACAGAAACAACUACUAUAAUCGGGGAACUACAUUCAUGAGCAAGUGUUAAAGAUAAACUUGAAUUGUAAAAUCAAAUAGGACAGUUCCAUCUAACCUUUCUCCCCUUCCACCGUUUCUAAGAAACAUACAAAGGGCACAACUACUUUGACUUCUAUGUGCCUCCUGUAUAUAGGAUACCCUACAUGUCCUUAAUUGCCCAACUAAAACAUGCCCUAUUCCAAGUUUUUGCCUUUUGAAAUAAUAUAGAUAUUUAAGGGCCUAAGUAUAACCAUUAGCUUCUUUGAAUCAAACUUUCCAUAACUUUUCUAAUUAAUGCCAUCACAAAUUUUUCUUUCCAUACAAAUUAAAUAAAUGCAAUAAUAUCAUUGGUAAAAUUUGAAUCCAACUAUACUUUUUAUCACCAUAUCUGAAACAAAAAAGGCUUAAAUUGAUUUUAAAUCUAUAUUUGAUUUAUCUCUUCAGAUGCUUUAGGAAAAGUACUAUAGAACAAAAUUAGCGUUGUUGUCAUUUCAAAAAAGCGUUCAAGUAAGACAAUGAACGAAACACCUAGACAAGUGAUGUAAGUUGAUUUUAAGAUUGUACAUUUGAGGAGUUUCACAUUUUUAUGAGUUUUUGGUUUUAGGCAGAGUAUGGUGAGAAACCCAAAGAAGAUUGUCACUGGAAACGAACUUAACCAAGUGGUUAAGUCGUGUGAAGGUUCUCUUCUAAAGGGCAAAAAGAAAACACAAUUAUAUGGUGUUGAUGAUGAUGAGGUGCAAAAUUAAAGAGCAUAUGAUGGAAAAAAAAAUAAGAUGGAAACCAAAUAAGAAAAGAUGACAUAAGAACAUAAAGGAAUGGAAAUGGCACAAAGGAAGAAAAAUAAAAAGAUGAAAGGAAAGAGAAGCUUAGGAUGAUGAAGGUGUAGUCACACCACUUGGUGGGGGAGAAGACUCCAAGAUGAGUGGUGAAGAGUCGCCACUUGAGGUGCACUACACUCAAAAUAAGACCCAAUUUAAGAGCACUCAAGACUCACUAAACACUCUUGCAGAGUUUCCUUUCUAUUUCAAAAUUCAAUGUGAAAAUACAUGAGACAAGUCAGCCUUUAUAUAGGAAAAAGUGACAUGGGGAGCAAGAGUGAGAGGGGUAGGGGUGUCAUUUGUGAGAAACCUUCUAGAAGGUAGGUCAACCCUAAACCUAGGUGCACAUGUCAUGAAAGGUGGGCUUAGCACAAACCCAGUUUACUAAGUACACCCUACUCUAGCUUAUUCUUCUAUUUGGACCCAAACUGUGCCCAAUUUAUUUACAUAAACUUGUCUUGUGAAAAGACUAGAAGGAAGAACAUCUGAUGUUCUGGUUUAUGUUUGAUUCUUCUUUUUCUAAGGCUCUCCUGAGGUUUGGUGGGGCCUGGUCUUGUGUGUUGAGAUGACUGACCUAAUUGUGAAGUGUUUAUUGUGUCCUUAGUCAUCUACUUGUCGAGGUGGUUUGUAUCACAAGGGGAACCAAGAGAAACAAGAAUUCAUUGCCUCAAUUUCUAUAGUCCAAAGGAAAAAUGUUCUUCCAAUCACCAGUUCAAUAGAGAAUAUAUGAUUUGUAGUUAGUCCUCAUUAGAGCAAAGUUGACAAUGUUAAUUGUGAAGAAAAGUUGUUUGAGGAUCCACUAAACAAUUCACUCAUGUCAAAUAUUGAAUGAAGACAACACUCACCAAUACAAUCCUUAUAAGCGUGACCACUGUUGAUAGAAAGAUCAAGAACAAAUCUUUUGGUAUGCUUAAACUAGAUCUACUGAAAAUGCCAAAAUCAUUAAUUUGUAUGUAAAAAUACAAAGAGCUUCAAAAUUUUACGAAACCUAGAUAUAAAAAAAAUCAAACAAAGCUGAAAACAUUAUAAAAUGACAAUAAUAAUGGAUGGUAAUCAAAAAUCCAUAAAUAUGAUCAUUUGAAGCACUUUUGGUUCCUUUGUGACUAAAUCUUUAACUUAUAUUUUCCUAAAUGUGUCACUAAUGGAGGAAACUUAUAAUGCAACAAGUCGCAUGAUAGAUUCAUCAGUGUUCCAACAUGAACCAUUAGGCUUGCUGAUGAUUAUUUUACUACAAAUGUACCGUAUCAAAAAUAAUAAUUUGUCCAUAAGGAUAGAUAUCAAGUAUAAGAUUUACUAAAUAGAAAACAAUAAAUAAAAUUUUGUAGGAUGUUUGUUGUGUAUGAUUGCAAGAAUAUAAAUAAAGCAAAGUAAAGAGUUGUUGAUUCAAUUGGGAAAAUUGGGAUUGAGUUUCAUCCAUCUCUCUUUUUUGUAUUUUGAAAAGCAUAAUAAUAUUCUAUCAUUUGAUUGAUAUUGAUUCCCAUAUAAAAUUUAUUCAUAUCGAUUUCUCGCAUAUAAAAUUAUUAAGAUAGUCUCCUAAAUAUCGAUUUCUCGCAUAUUUAUAAAAACUCCUUAUCCUUAUGAUUAGAUGUUGAUAACAAUUAACAUUUCAAAUCUAUUCUGAGCAUUCAAAUAUGUUAAGCAUCAUCAUUUAAGUCAGAAACUUAGAGGUAUUUUUCAGUUAAAUUUAAGGAUUAAAAUCAUGAUAAACAAGCAUUACAAAUAAAAUGGCAAUAUCAAUCAUCAAUCUAGAACAAAAUAUUAUAUUUAGAUCUCACUUCAAUAAGAGUUUGAACAAAUUACUACCAAUCCCAAAAAGGGUAGAAUUAGUCACUCAUGUUGGUCAUUAUAGCAUGAAAAACAAGAAAAGAAGAUCCAAACGAUUGCCUCCUCUAAGGUUUUCUAUCACCUUCUAUUCUCCCAAUGAUGUUUAGGGUUGUGUCUCACAACUCAUAUUUAACCUAGUUGGUCUUGGGUUAAGUGACUUCUUCGCCUGAGUGAGUUGGACGAGAUAAAGCGCAACUUCUCUAGAGUGAUCUCGCCUAGGCAAGGUUAGACUCGCUUGGAUUCCUCUGGAGUGCUUCUGGCUUAGGCAAGUUUUUGGACGACUUUUGAGCGUUCCAACUCAUUCUCAUCUUGUUUAUUCUCCUUUAGUCCUUUCAUCUCCAUUUUUCCAUAGAAUCUUGAAAUUAACAUAAAUUUAGGAAUAGAUCAUUUUUAUUCAUGUUAUAGUCACAAAAAAAUGUAAAAAUAUUUAAAUUCAUAAAUUAAGAGUUAAAUUAUAGUUAUUUUAUCAAUAAAUAUAUUUUAUAUUUUUAUAUAAAAUAUUACUAUGACAAUUAUUACCUGUUAUUUUUUUCAGCUUUUUUUUGUGAAAGUAUAUUUUACAAAAAUAUUCCUGCUAUUACAUGUCUCACUCAAAAGUUUGGACUCAUAGUGCUUGUAGAUUCACGAGCUUAAAAAAUGUAACAAUCUCAUGAACAGAGUGCUGAUACCACUUAAAGUUGGGACCAUACAACUUUCACUCUAACUUUAUUCAAAAUACAAAUUUAUUGUUAAGGACAGAAAUAUCCUAAACUAUGUAAACACAACAUUUUCGGUUUGAAUAAAAUAAAUCUAGCCAAACACAAACCAUUUUUUUAUUCAAAUAAUGAAUUUGGUAAACCAAACUUAACAAAUUUGUUUACACAUCCAACAACAUUAAAUUGUAGUCUUGUUUCUAUCAAAUACCAAAUUAAUAUUAUAAGUACCUUUUACUUAUUAAGGAUUACUUAUGGAACAACUUAUACUUAACCUAGUUAAGGUUCACACCACCUUUAUCCUCCAUCUAAAAUUCAAUAAUAAAUUAACAUAUAUAAUAAUUGUAUUCAUAUGUACAACCACUUUAAAAACUACAAACUAAUAAUCUAUUAUAAUGAAGACGCAGAAAAAUUAAAUGGAUAGAAUUUGAAUAUUGAAUAUGAGACAACUAAUUUACUUUUUGAAAAAAAUAUAUAAAAUAUUCAAAUCUUUCUCUAAUAUUAUAGUUUGAUGAUAAAAUAGCUCCUAAUUUACUGUUAAAUUAAUCUUUAAAUAUAUUUAAUAAAAAUUAAAGUAAAAAUAGUUCAAAUUAGCUCAAUCUUUUGUUGGAAUGACGUGGCAGAGAAAAUUGGGAGAUUCAUUCAGAUACCAGUAAGCUCGUCCGUAGGCGAUAACCGCUUCUGGUUUUCCCCUUCCAGAAGAAAACGUUUUCGGAAGUAUAUAAAAAAUAUCAAAACACGGAAAACGAGAACUCACAACGCUUCUGAAUUUCAUGUUUUGAUCACAAUCUGAAGAAAAACCACUUCAAUUAGAAUUCCAAUUUGAGUUUUGUGUAUAAAAGGAAGGGAAGAAAUGGAAUCGGAGGAUUUGGUGAAACAGGAAUUGGAGGAAUUGCAGAAACAAUUGGGGAAGAAGCAGAAGUUUGAAGCUUCUGUUUCGUCCCUCAAAUGCCUUCUCCAAUGCUCAUAUCCUUCAGCUUCUCUAUCGCUUCGCCAAUCCGUAUGCCCUUCUCUAUUUAUGUUCCAAUUUCUCAUUAUAAUUUUUGCUGCGUUCUUCAAUUUAAUUUUGUAACUUCUGGGUUUAGUUCCUUUUGCUCUGUUUCGUUUACUUUAGUCCCAAAGAAUUGAUUUUGAUAUGCUUGAGUUGAUAAAUAUGGUUGUGUGUGGAAUAACAAUUUAUUAAAUUAAUGUUUGGUUAACCUAGAUCGAAGUUGUUUUUGUUUGCAUGUCAUCUUCAAUCACCUUGGAAGCACGAAAAAAUUGUAUGAACACUUUAAAGUCUUCAAGCAAUACAAAUUAGAAUAUCAUUAUAUCACUAAUUAGAUACCUAUACAAGUUGUAGGAUUUUGUAUGUGGGGGAACGAUUUCUCAAACUUCUCCCUGAGGACUUCAAGGAGAGAAAAAUAAGAAGAAAAAAUGAAAUUGUUUUCUCUUCAAGAGAAAAUUAGUUUGUGCAAAAGCUAAUUUGUAGAAGCUCUCUCACGUAUUUUCUACAAAUUUUUAUUUUUAAUUUGUGCAGAAACUAAUUUUAGUACAUGGAGAGAAGACAAUUUCAUUUUUUAUUUUAGUAGUCUUUAUGGAGAAACUCGUCAAAACAGGCACUAGGUCAAGGUUUAAAAUACAAUCUAUGACUGCAAGGCUUUUGGGUGUUUCCCAUUGCUUGGCAACUGUAAUUGUCAACUUACGAACUGCAUUUGUUUGCAACUUUCAGUAAUAGGAAAGAUUGUGACAAAACUGCAAGCAUGAUUGCAACCACAAUCUAAAACCUUGAUCUAAGUUGACUUGUACUCAUUUUUUAAACUUGGAUUCCCUCUUAUGAAUUAUGAUUUAACAUUUUUAUGUUGUGUUGAUUUAAAUUAAUUUUAUAUAAUCUUUAUUAUGGUAGUAUAGUGUUUGUGAUUUUAAAAAUUCCUUUGUGUAAUUUUGCAUUUGUGUCAUAUAUUGUAUCUGUGCUUUCUUGGAGGCUCCCUCGUUCAGGUGUGACCUGUGUGUGUGAAUAGGGUUCAACCUUUACUUCCUCUAAACUUUAAUGUUAAAGGAAAUGUUUGUUAUUGUUUGCUGAGGAGCUAAAAGGCAGGAGAUUGACUGUUGUUUCUGGUGUUGGCAGUUUUAUUCGGUUAUAUGCCGAGUUGCUACUGUGUUGAAGAGCAGAUAUACAGCACCAGGUUUCUGGAAUGCUGGACUGGGACUUUUUGAACUGGCUUAUUUGCUUGUUUCUGAACCUUCUGAGAAGGAACACUUGAAGGCUUGCAUUGCUCAGGCCAGAGAACAUUUACAUCUGGAAGACAACCCAUCACUACAAGCUUCACAAUUUUCAGAUAAUCAAGCACACAGAGGUGAUUUUCUUUCUAACUAGUUAUGUUUUCUUUUUCGUUUUUCGUUAUUUAUAGUUGUUCACGUUUAUCUGUCGUACAUAUCCUCCAGGGGUUUUGAAAUAAUUAACCUUUGUCUUCUUGUGUUUAUCUCAUUUCGCAAUGAUUCAGGAUAUCUUUUUGAGGGGCACCUUACGGUUGAUCCUGAACCACCACAACCUCAAUGGUUGGUGCAGUCAAACCUCUUGUCAACAGCUGCUACACUCUUUGCUGCCGAAUCCUCUCAAGCUUCUGCAGCAAAUGAAACCACCCAAGAGGAUGCAGCAAAUAUGCUUCAAGAUCUUAUAAAUAGAUUGGAAGAAGUUGUGCCGUUGGUAUUUAUUCAAAAUCUAUCACAUGCUUUUUAUAACCAUCAUUUAUCAGACUUUCAAUUUACACUCUUAAAUAUCAACAUGGCUUUGCAUUUCCAGGUUGAGUUUCUAAAGUUGAAUAAGUUUUAAGAAAGAGGUAUAAUGUGGCUUAGUCAUUGAUUGAACCUAAGCAAACCAGGACACUGUAGAAGCAUUAGGACCAUUUUAGGCUCUACUUGGUACUUGAAUUCUUCAGGUUAAAUUUAACAAAAGCAGCUACUUGAAAUUGGUUCAGUGGAGUACUAUUUUCACAAUAUAUUUAGGAAUCAAUGCAAACAGACAGCCUAGGUAUCAAGUCAACUUCUAUUUAAAUCCUUAUACUUACUGUCCCAUGCCGCAGUUGCAUUGGUGGAUCUGUUAUUGAUGUUAAUGCAUCAUUUGAAGGGUGACUUGAUAUAAACAUCUUACUCAGUUAGACUCAUUUUGCUAAUUCUUUGGUCAUAUUUUAGCUCUUUCCAACUACUUGCCUUUUGAUUGAUAUAUAUUUUUUCUAUUAUAAUCAGCCUUUCCAUUGCUACAAUUUGCACUUCUCACUCAAGGAAGAUAUAAAUACUGUAUCUUUUUGUGUUAGAUGGUGGAUGAAGGUACUGUAGCUCCAAGAGCCCCUCCUGCCAGUAAAGAGGUUGUGGCAAAACUUCCAGUCAUUACUCUCACAGAGGAAAUUUUGGCUACUUUGGGGAAAGAUGCAGAGUGUGCCAUUUGCAGGGAGAACUUGGUUUUAAAUGACAAAAUGCAAGAGCUGCCAUGCAAACACACAUUCCACCCACCAUGUCUAAAGCCAUGGCUGGUAUUGUCCCUAACUCCUCUUUUCUAUUGGAAAUUUUAUGUUCUUCUAAAAUCAACUUCGUGCAUUUCAUACUAUCGAAUUCUUUGAAAAUGGCAUGUUUAAAUAUAAAUUGAGUUCAAUUUCAGGAUGAGCACAAUUCUUGUCCCAUCUGUCGGUAUGAGCUGCAAACUGAUGAUCAUGCUUAUGAGAGCUGGAAGGAGCGAGAAAAGGAAGCUGAAGAGGAGAGAAAAGGUGCUGAAAAUGCAAUUCGAGGUGGUGAAUAUAUGUAUGUUUAAAUAAUCACUCAAUGUUAUGUUUAAUGAUAUGGUUGUUCGUGUAACAAUGGAUGUGAAUUUUUCAUUUGGUGAAGUAGUUGUAUUCUUUGUUAUUUCAAGCUAUAGAUAUAUAAAGUUUUCAGGGUUGCUCUAGGGUUUAAGGAUAGUUCAUAAUAUGCUCCCAAUUAACCAUUUAGCUUAGAACUUCUAGUUUUUACUAUAAUGGCAACAGAGUUAGAACUUAACAUUAUUACUUAGACAUAUCACCAGUAAUUGUUUUUACAUGACACGAGUAAUUGUUUUAUUUUUGUAUGCUAAUAACCUUUUGACAAAAUUUGAUCCUCACACCAUUUUUUUAUUUUGCUCUUGUGCAAUAUUCAAUUUAGAUAUUAUAUGAAUAGUACAUUCUUAAUUUGGUUCAUGAGUAAUUUAUUUUUAAUUUAUUCAUUAUACGCAAGGGGCUAAAUUAAAAGAGACAAAAUAAAAAUUAAUUACCCUUACAGAAAUGAAAUUAUUUGUUUAGCUUUUUGUUAAGAAAAUUGGGAAAAUGUGAAGUAGGAACAGUAUUUACUCUUUUUCAAAUACUCGAGCAUUAAGUGCCGUUAACACAGUCAAGCGUUUGUUUAGCUGACUAUACUUAAGAUUUUAAUAGAACUAAUUUUAAAUAGUUGAUGUAAAUAGGAUAUGUUUAAAAUAUUCAUUAUUAUAAAUUUAUAUUAAAAUGUAUAGAGUUUAAAUAAGUGGUAUAGAGUUUAAAUCGUGAUAAAAUAAUUGAGUAUAGAAUAAAUAUAUUGUAUUGAGAUGAAAAUACCUAGUAACUACUUUCGGUAACAAAUAAUUCAUAUCAAUACCAUUAUUAAAACAAAACUUAUGUAUUUAUAAAUAUUUAACCAAUUUAGUGUCUGAUUUUUAAUUGGACCCGUUAAAUUGGUUAAAAAAAUAUCGGUACAUAGCAUAUCACCAAAAACUAUUCUGUAAAAAAAGUUUUUUUUUUUCAAUGAAAAUUUUCUGUAGGUUUUAAUGGAAAUUCCAAUACUUUUUAUUUUUAAAUUAGAACGUAUCAUUUUCCUUCCAAAAAACUUGUGAUUGUAAAGCAAUUUCUUGUUGAAACUUAAACCUAAUUAUUAUGAUAUAUUUAAUUUUCAUAUUUAUUAUAAAUGUUAGAUACUUGCGAAAUGUGCUAUUUUUAGUUUUUAUAUCAGUAAAUUUGAGUUAAUAUUUCUCAAAUGUUCAUCACUGUUUUUAUUUAUUAAUACCAAUUAAACAAUUAAAAUUAAAUCAGUGUAUAAAGAAACUUAACAUAAAACAUUCACAAUGCAACCAUUAUUACCUCAACAAUGAAUAUUUUGUAUCCACUCAUCAGUACUAUAUAAAGUAUCAAGCUUAAAAUAUAUCAAAAUGCCUUAUUAUAGCCCAGCCAAAUUUUAGCUUGGUACUGACAAAACAGAUGAAUCAGAACUUCUCACUAAAUAGCAACCUUUAUUAACUAAAAAGUUCACUCAAAUAUACACCACGGCCUGAGGCUAGGAGACAAAGUUACAAAGCAGCACCCCAAGUGACCAACUUGAGUAUACAAUCAUAUAAAAUUGCUGCUGUGCAAAGCUUUCCCAGGAACCAAAGUGAAGAUACCACCAUAACACACUUCUUGACAUGUAAAGGUUUUCAUGAACAUAACCAACAUGUGGUUGUUAAGUUCAGAAAACUGUGAAACCUUUGAUCCUAAUAACACGGCACCUGUCAACUACCAGGCUUUCUACUCCACCUAUUUCCAUAUCUGGGUGUACUAUGAUUCGAGUCACGGUGCUCUGAGAACCUAUCAUUUCUAGAUGCAAAUCCCAUUGCAUCAUUCCUGCCACCUCCUCUCCUGUCUCUAUGUCUCCUCAUAUGACGACCACCUCUGUGUCCACCAGAUUUCUUUUCCUGCUCAACUUCUUCAUAGGCCAAUGGUUGAAUUCCCUGAAGAUCAGGUUCAGGAACAUAUCCAAAAGGCCUCCUUGACUCAUCCAUUCUUCUAAAUGUGAUUGAUAUCCUAGUGAAAGUUUCAACAAAAACAAUACAGAUCAAUAAUUUGUGAGUUGUUCAAAACUUAAAAGCCAUUCAUAGAAUAUUAUAUUGCUUAAUACCUUCUCGAAGGAACUGCUGGCACACAGUGCUUGGCUACAUCAGCUCCAUUUCCGUUCAAGACAAGUACAGAUCUGGAGAAAAAAGAUUACCUAUAAGAAUCUGAAUCUUCUAUAUUGAAAUAAGAAAACUGAAGAAUUCAAUCUAACUGUAAGAAAUGUAAUAAUAGUUGAAUACUUACCCCAUAGGUAAAGGAAUAGCAAUCGAACCAUCAAAUUCUCCAGGGCCUACAAUCUUUAAGUUUGAUCCAAAAACUAUAUUGCACUCGCUAAGAAAUGAGACAGUGCAAAAUGGUCGAACAAAGUCAUGGUUAUCUAUGUGUGGAGGAAUACAGUCCCCUUCUUCGUAUAUAUUAACAAUGCAACUGUCUGGCACACAAGUAGGAGGUAGUACAUGCCAUUUUAUCAGUCGCCGGAUGAUGACUUUGAAAAGAUCAGGUAUUGGAUCAACCUUUGAAUGCGCAAGAAUACCAGGAGGGUUACCAUCUCUAUCCUGUAACCAAAAAAGUUAGCAUCUUAAAACUUACCUCACUUUUUACUCUGUUUCAAAAUAAAGAAACUUAAGCUCAGGAUAUAGACUAACCACUGCAUAAUUGUAACAGCACCCAAAUUGGAUGGUUUGUCGUCCCUUGCCCCUCAUCCACUUUUGGGGAGCAGAAAACGUCCGCUCUGAACAAGUGAAGAAUUAACAUAAGAAACAACACCACCAAACAUAUUCACUAAAUAGUCAAGGAAAUUGGUGUGAAAAAAGUAAUUUUUGUUUUCAGUAUCUUAAGAUAAGUCAUUAGCAUUCGGAUAUUGACCCCACCACAGGCUCUAAAGUCUGAGCCCCACCAUAUUUAUUCCUAAAUAAGAAGAAUAUUUACAUUAAUUUCAAAAUCAUUUGCCUCCCCAAAUCUUGGGAAGCCCUAAAUUUUGGAAAACAUGAUAAGGCAUCAGAAGGUGAAGUGUGGUAAUAGAAGGGAUAAGCGACCCUGGCUGUUUGAGGCACCGUCUCUUCAUUGAGGCACAUGCAUGCCUUUCUGAAUGAGACAAAGCCACAUCUUAGGACCUUAUUGAUAACUAUUCAAAUCAAAAAAGUUUUAGCCCCCUAAGUUGAUAAUAAUGAUGCUGAGGAUGUAAAUUGAAGGUUCUAAUCUCUUUUAAAGGCUUGAGAAGUUAAUUUGCAUGGUUAAUUUACAAAAACAUGUCAAAUAUUUCAAUAUUUUAAUAUUUUUCAAUAAAAAAUGGUUAAUUUACGAAAAAAACAGUGAAAUAUUUCAAUUUUUAAUAUUUUUCUAAUGUUACAGACUCUAGGGCAGCCAGACUUUUCUCCUUUGACUAAGCUGAUAGAUUAAAUUUUAUUUCUGUUAAAUUACAAGACAAUGUUAACGAAUAUGGUAUAUGUAUAAUGAUUCAAGUCAUUAACUAGCAAUACAAAAAGAAUCAAAUAUGGAUAUUUGACAAAUCAAAAGCAACUAUAGUUAACAGAAUAACUGAUGUGACAGCACAAACAAGUUAUUGACAGUUUGUAUUAUCAGCAACAGUUUGGAAGACACGUAUUAAUAAGUCUACAAUUACGUUGCAGUUAUAGAUCAUCAAAUUCAUAAUAUUACUUUACACUAGCAGCUGUGCAGAAGAACACCGCACAUAAUCUGAUUAAAUUUAUAUUAUAAGUAAAUAUACAAUUCAACCCUCAAAAAUACUUUUCCAAUGAAAGUGUAUUUUUAUACACAUUGGUCCCAACAAGUGCUAAACUUGCUAAGAACAGAAAUCACCCCGUGGAAGUUGUUAUCUUGUUAAUAAGUUCAUACUAUCAGGGAACAAUUAAACUUGCAACGCUAAAGCAACACAUGUAACAGUAAAUGCAAAAUUGGAUAUUACAAUUUUCAUCAAAUUUGAGCAUAAUAAGCCAUGCAGAGUGACAGCAAUUUCUGCUACGUGCUUGAUUUUAUUAAGCAUUCACUCCGAACACAAUUAUAAGUAAAAAAAAAGUAAACUUUAGUAGACUAAACUGUAAAAAAAUUAUAAAUCCUUGCACAGCACUUAAUGAUAUCAUAUAAAAAUUACCCUUCAAUUCUUUUGACACUAAACAACUAUAAGACAACGAAACAGAAGCACAUAACAAGAUCACAAAGAACAUACAAACAUAAACAAAACCAUAAACGGAUGAAAGAAGUCAAGAAUUGAGAUCACAAACCUUUCAAUUCUCCUCUUUUCCCCAUCUCCUGCAAUGAAGCAACAUAACUAACAAUCCGCUUCUGUUCAGCAGCACUGAAAAUACCAGUGUGGAGUUCAAGCCCUUCAAGAAUGUUGACAAGCUUCCCAUUAACCCUCUCAAAGCAGAUAAAGUCCUUCUUGCGCCUCACAUUCAUGAACCUAAUGUACUCCCUCUGCUCCCUGGGCAAAGUCGGCUUCUCAGCCACCACUGUACCCACAUCAGAAGUAUCAUUCGAAUCACCCACAUCAACAGUAACCCCAUUGUUGCUGUUUUCUUCUUCGCCAAACUCAUCGUCCUCUUGGGCCAUGUCGGCCCAACAAAUUCUCUGGCUCGGAGUCUCCACAGAGGUAUUCACCUCCGCCCCGUCUUUCCAACUCCCCAGCGAAUGCGCGUCGCAGUUAUCUUCAGCAUCGAUUUGUUCAUUGGGGCUGUCGUUUUGGGGCACUUCACCUGAAACUAAAGAACCCAGAAAGCGUAAGAAAAAACGGGUGAAACCCAGAUGGAAAAAAACGUGAAUUUUGGAGAAAAGUGAGGGGAUUGCGACCUGGGUCGAUGGACUGAAUACGAUCGGAGAGAGAUUGGGUGCAACGCGUGCAGAGAUCUCGGGAGAGGAAGGGGAGCCACGUGGCGAGAAACUCCGAAGCGGUUCGGAGAUCCGAAGGUGUGUAGUUUAGGAGGAAAGGGUCGCUUUCGGAAGCGUUGAUGCUGUUGGGUUUAGGCUGCCGGUGGUGUUGUUCCUCCAUGGCGAGUGAGUCAACUCGGAAGGUGGAAUCGGAGAAGUAGAAGAAGAAGAAUAAUAACAGAGAAAGCAGUAAAGACCGCACACAAGAAGAUACUCUGUUUCCGCUCUUGCUAGGAUUUCUUGUUUGAUGUUACUGUUUUAUUUUAUUAUUUAUAGAUGUCUAAAGAUAUAUAGUUACAAGAUAUAUAGAUAUAAGAUAUAUAAAUAUAUAGAUAUAAAGAUAUUUUAUUUUCUUUGGUGGCACUAAAAUUGAGUUUGGCUUAACAAACAAGUUUUGAUCUCCAAAAUAUUUUCUUGAUUUUCAAUUCUUGCUUUAUUGAAAAACAAUUAUCUUAAUUUGGGAAUGUAAUUUGUAUAGUUAAGAUUUCUUUUAUAAGAUUUGAGUAAUCGGAGUCAAUAUGUUAAAGAUAUGUAAAACAAAAUUAUUCAAGUGUGAUAAAUGCAAAUUAUGGUAAUAUUUAUAUAUAUAUAUAACAAGAUUAUUUUCAAAAUAUUGUUCAGGGUAUUUUUAAAAGAUAUUUUCGUUAUUUAGUUAUAUUUGAGCUUUAUUUUAAUCUCGGCACAUGUUUUAACUUGAAAUUCAAAUAAUUUCAAUUUUGUAUAGAUUUGAUUGGACAAUUAGACUAAAGUAGUUAUUUCUCAACCAUUUCAGCUUAAUUUCAUUUAAUAUGAUGGUUAUUAUUAUUGCGCGUAUUUUUUUUAAUUAUUUAUUUUUUAUCUUUGUUUUAAAGUUUAAUUUUAAUAAUUAAAAGUUAUCAGUAGUUAAAUAUAAUAUUUAUAAUUUAUUUAUUAUAAUAAUAUAAGUCAUAAGCUUAAAUAUUUUGUGUUAUAAAUUUUAAUUGCAACUAGUAUUUUUAUCAUGGAUUAUCUUUAUUUUGUACCAGGGAAAUUAAAAUUAAAUAAAUACUUCUCAAUGCAUAAAUUGUAACCUAAAAAAAUCAUUCCGUUAUUAAACUCAACAUAAAAUCUUCCCAACAACUAAACUUCGGAUAUAUAUAUAUAUAUAUAUAUAUAUAUAUAUAUAUAUAUAUAUAUAUAUAUAUAUAUGUAUAUAUAUAUAUAUAUAUUUAGGUAUUUUUUUUUUUUUUUUAUAUAAAGAUAUAUUUUAUUUAUAUCUUUAUAUAUAUAUAUAUAUAUAUAUAUAUAUAUAUUUUCNNNNNNNNNNNNNNNNNNNNNNNNNNNNNNNNNNNNNNNNNNNNNNNNNNNNNNNNNNNNNNNNNNNNNNNNNNNNNNNNNNNNNNNNNNNNNNNNNNNNUAUAUAUAUAUAUAUAUAUAUAUAUAUAUAUAUAUAUGUAGUUUGUUUGUCAAAAUAAUAAAAAUAUAACAUGAGAUAACUUGAGAUUUUAUGUGUGUUUGUAGUUUGUUUGUGGGACAGUUAUUUUUGUACUUACAUAACUUGAGAUAACUUGAGAGUCUACAAUGUGUUUUCUCAAUUAUCAAAUACACUCAUAAUACGUCAUCACGUAGAUAAUAAUACGGAAUAAGUUAAUCAAAAUUAACUAAAUAAAAUUCAUAUUUAAUUUAUUCAACUUAACACGAAAGUAAGUUUAGGGCUGUGUGUAGUUUGUUUGUCAAAGUACAUAAUUACACAAUUUAUCAUUUAUAUUAAUCGAAUGUAUACAAAAAUACAUUCAUAUUAUACAUGCAUCCACAUUUUUAAGAUAUUUAUCAAGAAAUAUCUACUAAUACCUAGUUAAUUUUUUUUUAUUUUUCAAGAAAUAUUUAAUACCUAAUCAAUUUUAGCACAUCAAUAAUACAACCUCGACUACAUGGAUCACAUGGAGUUUAAAAUAUAUUGUGAAAAACAAGUCAAAAUACACAAGAAUGAAAGGUUAGCUUGUUUAUUAAAACUUUUUGAAAUUUUUGCAAAGUUGCAUCUCAUCUGAUGGAGUACAAACAACUUUUAAUGUGACAAAUGAUUUACUAAAAAUUUAAUUUUUAAAAUCUCUCAUUCUUUCCUUAGGACAUAUUUAAUAACAUACAAUUUAGUUGAGCAUAAAGAAAAGAAGGACGCGGGACAUUUUUAAAUUGGUUCAUUUGUAAAAAAACAUUCUACAUCCAAUUAUUAAUCAAAUUUCACUAGUCAUACUAACAUUAUAUAAAUACCACAAAGUAUUAUUUGAAACUUAGUCAAUUUUGUCUAAAUAACCUCAAUAUUAUUUCAAUACUCAGUCACUACCUAACAACCCAAACUAUUGUUUAGCUCAAUUACUUUUGGUUGAGCAACUCAGGUAUUAUUUGGAACAACAACUAAUCUUAGUUAAAACUUAAGUAUUUUUCAUAACAUAGUCACUCUUGGCCAAAAUGGUUUUAAAACGAAAUGGCGAUAUAAACAAUCACAGGGUUUUGCUAACUAGACAUAGAGUUGACGUCUUUCAACGAAUAUAAAAUUUAUACAUUUUUCUAUUUUGCUAAUAAACACAAAAGUAUUUUUAUAAAGUUUAGGGCACAAAAAGCUUUGGGUGAGAAUAUUGACAGUCUUUUGACAACUCUUCAUCACUUCUUCUUGUUCUUUAACUUGGAAAAGUGCUUUAUAUAGAGUGUUGAGGAAAGAGACAUUGUAAAUUCUUGUGUGCUUGUUUAGUAGUUUCAACUCAGGUCUUCACAUUUAAGCAUUUGUCUAUUAUAACAAGAACGUAAAGAUGCAUUAAAUGUUGUGCUCCAUGCAACAUUAAAGAUUAUCUCUUCUUUAAGAAACAUCAUGAUAGCUAACAUGACUUAUCAUGCCUAGGUGAUAAAGCUUUCAUCCAAACUGGAGUAAAAAUGCGGCAUAUAGUCUUUUCAAGAUUGACAUAAGGUGUGUUAGGAUGCUUGUUGGCAUACAACAAUUUAAUGCGUUCUUCAAGAGAUAUUUGAUGUAGACAUGAGUUAUAUGGGAUGUUGGUAGACAUGAAGAUGAAAACUUUCUAUGUAACAUAUAACAAAGUUGUAAAGAGUUUGUUGAGAUAUAAUGUUAAUUUAAGAUUCGUGCAUAUUUUCUCAUUAAGCCUUCACUUAUUAGACAAAGCAAGUGACCAUAAUGUGCUAUAUUAUUUUUUAGAUAAAACAUUUGCAUCUCACACGACCUGAUGAAACAUAUUUAUCUUUGUACGUUAUUGUUUAAUACUUAAUCAAAAGCAUCAAUGGUGUGUUGGACUUCAAGAUAUAUCCUUUUCCAGUGUGUUCUGAUACAUGAUAAGUGUCAUAAUUCAAUAGUAUUUCAUAAAAAAAGAUAAGCACUUAUGAACUUGAAUUGAUAAAAUAGUUAUAAUUUAACCUCUAAUUUAGGAAAUUUAACCUUUUUACAUAUUUUUGGAUUAUAAGAUGAAUAUGAACGAUUUAUUAUCAAAUUUGUGUUAAUUUUAGGAAUCUAGGAGAAAAUAGAGGUAAAAGGGCUAAAGGAGAAUGGACAAGUGAAAGACAAAAUGAAAAGACAAAUUUGGAACAUUGAAAAUUUGCACAAACUCACUCAAGCAAGAUCACUACAGAGGAACUCGCCUAAGGCUCGCUUAAGCGAGUUCGCUUUAGUGAAGUUGGGCUUUUUAUAGUAAAACGCGCUUAAGCAAGUAAUAUCUCGCUUAAGCGAGAUGUCACCUAGUUAAGCCCAAUUAGAUUAAGUAGAAAGCAUGAGACAUAACCUUGACAUCAUUGGGAGGAACCAAAGGAAGGAAACCCUAAAGGAGGCAACAGUCAAGGAAAAACGCUAUGGAUCUUUUUUUUCUUGUUGUCCAUGCUUGUAAUAGCCACCAUGAGUAACUAAUUAUUUUCUUUGGGAUUGAGAGUAAUAUGUUUAAACCUUUAUGUAUUGAGGUGAUAUUUAUCUAUAAUAAUCAGUUCUUGAUUGAUGAUUGGUAUUAUCAUUUUAUUUUCAAAGCUUGAAACUAUUAAUGAUUUUGAUCCUUAGAUUUGAGUGGAAAGUACUUCUAAGCAUUUGACCUAAAUGAUAAUACUUAAUAUAUUUAAAUGUCAUGAAUAAAUUUGAAAUGUUAAUUGUUUUAUAACAUUUGUUCCUAAUGAUAAAGAGUUUUUAUAAAUAUGUGAGAUAUCGAUAUUUAGGAGACUUUCUUAAUAAUUUUAUAUGCGAUAAAUCAAUAUGAAUAACUUUUAUAUGUGCCUCAAUGUUAAUCAUGAUGGGAUGUUAUAUGUUUAAAACCACAAACGAGUGAGAAUGAUUAACCAUAUUCCCUAUUUUCUUAAUUGAAAACUUUUACUCAUUGCUUUUAUUUAAUUUUCAUGCAAACUAUUGUCAAUAUUUGAAGUGUCCUUGUGGAUUUGAUAUUCGUUCUUAUGUACAAAUUAUUACUUUUAACUUUGUACACUUGGUGUAAAAAAGACUAAUCAAGUUUUUGUUGUCGUUGUCGGAAAACAACUUUGUUUAAAAUUUGAAAGUAUAAUUUGCAAGUAUUGUGAAUAUUUUUAAAGAUUUUGUUUUUUUAGAUGUGAAUGUUUUUUAAAGUUUGUUUUUGGAUAAUGUAUUUAUUUUAUUUAAUAUUACUGUAUUUAUUAUUUUAUUUUGUUUUUGUUUUGUUAUAUUUAUUUUAUUUUAUUUUAGUUUUUAUUUUUAGUUUACGUAGUUAUUUUUAAUUUAUUUUAGUUAGUUCUUUAUAAUUAUAAGUUUCUAUUUUAUUUUUUUAUUCUUAGUAUUUUGUUUAAUUUUUAAUUUUUUUAUUCUUAGUUUUUAUUUUUAGUAAGUUUUUGUUUUUUGUUAUAUAUUUCUUAUUUUUUUAUUUUUUUUAUUUUGUUUUUAAUUUUAAUUUUAUUUAGUUAAUUAACUUUAAUUAUACACUUCUUGUUUUGUUUUUCUUUUACUUUUUUAAAAAAAAAUUGUUUUAUUUUUUUAUUUUUUCUUUUAUUUAAAUUUUUUAAUUGUUAUUUUUUAUUUAUUUUAUAUGUUAAUCAUUGUUUGAGUUGUCUUAUGAUAUUAAAAGAACAAGUUUAUAGAAAUCAAUUGCAAUUUAAAUUUAGACAUUGAGAAGACAAUUGAGAAAAAUAAAAAUAAAAAAGGAAAGAAAAACAAAUAGAAGUUAGAAAAGAAUCUGAUUAUGUCUAUCCCUCACAUUGAAAUAAUUUAAAAAGAAAGUAACAUGGCUAAGGAAGGACAACAACCACCACCUAGAAGAACACUUUUUAAAUCCUAUGGAGCAAUGGAGUUGGAGGACCCAGUGUGACACAAAAGUUGGGUAGUCAAUGACCAAAGGCUGAAGCCUUAUUUAAGUAGUGAAAUUGAAAGACUCAUCAUAGUGAUUUUGUUGAAAGAGAUAUAAAGAAACUAGCGUAAAGCUAUAUGAGGUUGAAGAGACGCUUAUUGGGAGACAACCCAUUAUUUUAAUUUCUGUGUUUUGUUUUUAUGUGUUUGAGUUGUGUGCUAUGUGGUGAAUGAUGAUAUCCAGAACAGUUAUUAUUUGUCUGGAGGGGCAGAACAACUAUAAAUUAAGAUUUCAACAUAGAGCUGAAUGAGUUGCUAAGAAGAGAUGAUUGAGCACAAAACAUGAUUUUAUCUUUCUAGUGUUUAAUUUGCUCAUUUUUUAAUUGUUUAAUUUGCUUAUAUUUUAAAUUUUAUUUUAUUUAUUAAGAUUGUUUUUAUAGUUUUAUUUUAUUCUUAAAUUUUAUUGUGAAAACUGAAAUAUUAAAAUCUUACACUUUUUUAAUAAUAUUUUGGAAAAUACACUUUGGAUUAUGUAUUCUGACAAAAAAUUCUAAAAUAUUGUUUGAACAUAUAAUUCAAUUUUUAAUAUAUUCUUAAAAAAUAUGAAAAACAUCUUUGCCAUUAUAAAGUAAAGAAGAGGUGAAAAAAGAAAAAAUAUAGAGGUCGAAAAAGUAAAAAACAUAUAUCAGCAACGACAGAAAGAGACCUCAAAAUCGUGGCGAAAUCUUCUACAUAUGUGCAAAAAACUUCAAAUUUCUCUCAGCAACAACUGAAUGACACAAAAUUUAUACGGAUAUUAAUAAUAAUAAUAAUUUUAUAACCUUAUUUUUCACGACACUUUGCAGUUUCGACAGUCAUUUGCUAAUCUAACAAUUAAUGGAAAUGGCUUCCUCAUCCUUCGUCUUAGGUUCAGAUUUGAAAUGCAUACUCUCUUCUAGGAACAGUACUAUGUCUGGGUUUGGUGCACUGAGGCACACACAACCUAAUGGUCUGUUCAGCAAAUUCUUCCACUUUCACACUCUAUCCACGAGAAUGGUGGCAAGGACUUCAAAGAUGGUUUCUAAUGUUUUUGUUGGUGGAGACAAAAGUACCAGAGUCAAUAGCAAGAUGUACACCAAGUUGGACUCUUGUUUGGUGGUACCACCUACCCCUAAUCCUUCCAAGCCUCGAGCUAUAAUCAAAUUCCUGGGUGGUGCCUUCAUUGGUGCUGUUCCUGAGGUUACUUACGGGUAUUUUUUUGUUACCCUUUUGUUUUUUCAAUGCAAAGUUUGAGUCUUUAUCAUUGAUAGCUGAUUUUCUCAUGUGGGUGGUGAUAUUGAUGGUGUGAUGAGUUUUGUUCAUUUAAUUUGCAAUUUGCAGGUACCUAAUAGAGUUUUUGGCAAAGGAGGGUUUUCUUGUGGUGGUGGUGCCUUAUAAUGUGACAUUUGACCAUUCUCAAGCUGCUAAGCAAGUAUAUGAGAGGUUCCAAGCUUGUUUGGGUACUAUCCUGACAUCUGGGUUGCCCCAAGCCAAUCUGUCUCCUGCUCAGCUUAAAGACCUUCCUCUUUUCUCUGUUGGCCAUAGGUUUGUUUAGUGUUUAAUACUACCUCUUUUCCUUUUAUAUGUGCAUUUUUUCUCUUAAUUAUAAGAAACACAUGUUACCCUUUUUUGAGAUGUAUUAAUAGUUAAUUUCUUUUUUACUUUAUUUGUCGUAAAGUUUAUUCAUGAUACACUCUAUCAUUUUCCAUGAGUGAAUGUAUUUGUUGGACUGUUAAUAACACAAGUCAGAUUCAUUUGUGAGAAAAUAAUUUAUUUUAUGAGUAAUGCCACUUUAUAUAGUUACCACUUAAACCAUUUAAUCCUAUGAACAUUUUUAGAAUAAAAUUUAAAAUUAUGUUGUUAAGUAGGAAAAAACAACCUAACUAUUUAUUUUGGUUAGUCGUAGUGAUUAGUUAUUUGUUUGUUAUAUUAUAAUAUUAUACUGGGGCAAGAUCUUCUUACUAUAAUUAAUGUCAAGAAAGUAAUAUAUUUCUGUUUUGUUUUAAAUCUGUAGCAAUGGUGCACUUCUUCAACUACUCACAGGAAGCUUAUAUUCAGAGAAAAUACCUAAGGUUUGGUUAUUAUUCUUACUGCGGCAGCAAAAGAUUGAAUUUGUAUAUUUUAACUAAUAGUAGUAGUGUACUAAUUAAAUUAUUAUAACAUAAUUUUAGUUUAUGGAAGCAUUAUGUUGUGGAUUAUGAAGUUUCAUUUACUUAAAUAUAACUCAUACAAGGAAUGUGACGAAAAUGUCUCUUGUGGAAGGCUAAUGCCAUAAUCUCAUACAACAACAGGCCAGCAACGGAGGCAGUCCCAUACUUUGAACAGGUAUUGGCAGUCAUAAUUGAUGAAAUCUAUUACAUCAAUUUAUCCAUGAGUCUUUAUAGGCUAUUACUUUACUCUAAUGUCUGUUUAUUCAUUCUUGCGGUUAUUUUUUUCUAAAAGCUGUGUUAAGUGUUUACCUUCCCUCCAGAACUUUUUUUAUGAAAUUUAGAACUAAGUUUGAUUGAGGAUGCCCAAUUUUUGAAGAACUUUUGUUAUACACUGCUUGCUCGACAUAUGACUUUAAAUAAGAAUAAGUUCUUUUUGAGAAAUAUUCAUUGUCUAGACAGGAUUCCUUGAUAUUUUUGUAUUUCACCUGGAGGAUUUGUACCAAAUGAUCAAGGUUGUGAUGAAAACAUAAAUACUGGUUAUAAAUAUGUUUGAAAGUGGAAACACACCUGAACCAGCUUUAAUAUUUCUUGUUCUGUUUCUGUGCAUUCAUCAUAACUGCAAAAGAAUUCUAUAAAUCUGUCCAAUUAGAUGGAAAGCAAAUGAGCUUAGGAAUACUUCCGUUUCCUUUUCUGAUCCCAUUUAAAUAACUGGCUAGUAAGCUAAAUAAAUGUAACAUUUAUACAUGUUGACAUAAGAAUUAUUGGCAUACCAUAAACUAACUGGCAUUCACAGAUAAAUUUAAUCUGUCUAGAACAGAAAUGAAGAUGCUCAUGGAGGUGAUUGUUUCUGUCUUUAUUCAUAUAAUCCAUUAUGGCAUCAUAACCACUGAGAUCAACAUGGUUCAUGAAAUAAUUUCGUAUGUCCUUACAGAGAUAAUAUGUUCUUCAAAGGGGAUAAUAUUAUUCAUAUUCGAUCUGAACUUCAGCUGAUAGAGCAUUUUUGUAAGUUGUUCAUCUCCAUUGUGCUCUAAAACUUUGCAGUGCUGCCCUGCAGUUGGGUCCUGCAGUCAGCCAAAUGAUGCCAGUUAUGGAGGCAGCUCCUUUUUAUUCAAUAGCUAGAAAUGCAUCAGGUAUCUCCUCAGCUUGCUUCUGAUGAUUUUUCUUUUGCAUCAGCGUUUUGUAAUGCUCUAGAUAUCUCACUCUUCCAACUAUCCAAAAAUGGCAGCAUUGCCAUCAUUACCUUCUUUGUUAUAUGUUACUGUCUAAGAUCCUACAUAUUCAUUAUUUUACCAGUUACUAGAGACAAGGUGAUCGCGACCGACCUCAGUGGUGCAACAGUAGAGUUGUGCCUUGGUGACUGGUUGAACAUAGGCUCGAAUCUAUAAAAUAACCUUAUACAUUUCUUAGAAUUUUAGAUUUAGGACUUCACUCAUUCCUAUAAAACCUUUGUAAGGUGAUAACUGCCUAAACAUAUAAACCUUAGUUAAGCCAUAUGUAUUCUCAAUGAUGUGAAACUACAUCACCAGCUUGAGGCUGCAAUUAAGACAAUCUCCAAAGAAAUCACAACUGAAUUGGGUUAGUGGUGACCUUAAAUAAGGUGACUUUUCCCAAAAUCUCUUCACACCUAGGACUGAAAGUCAAUGGUAAGGAUUGCCCAAACUUUAUAAAGUUUGUUUAAACCAUAUUUCCAGUUGAUGUGAAAAUAAACUACCGUCCUCUAGACUAGAAUUGAGUCCCUAAAGACUUUGUAACUAAGGUAGGGAUGAGUGCAAUAGAAGAAGCUUUUCCAACAAUAUGCAUGGGGAUUGUUGUGUUGAGAUAUGUACUAGACGAGGACCAUCUAAUAUGUGUUACACGACAUGUGUUACAUGACCACCGUCUAACAAGUGUUACACGACAUGUGUUAGACGGUCACCGUCUAGUGUCUAGUGCAUAGUAGAAGACGAGGCCAGUCUAACAUGUGUUAGACGAGGACUGUUUAAUGUAUAGAAGACAAGAUUGUCUAACAGUAGUAGACGAGGACCAUCUAAUACAAACUAGAUGAGGACCGUCUAGCAUAUAUUAGAUGAGGAUAGUCUAGUGUGUAUAAAGUUUCAAAUAAUAAAGUCUUCCAGUUUUUUUUCUUACCUGGUCCAUGACUUCUUCCUUCAUCUUCUCUGGUCGCAUUUUCUUCAUCUCCAUGCUCUUGAUGGAGCUCUUCAACUUGCAUGAGUGUAGAAGUGUUCGAAAGACUUCUCCCUGCAACUUUACCUUUUUGCUUUUUCAGAUUUGCUGCGUUUUGUGAUUUUAUCCUUCAACCUUUUUACUCUUUUGCGCUUCUUUAAUGGGCUGCCAUCUUCUAGGUUAAGGCCUACUCUGCUUCUACUGCGGCUGUUUUCCUUGUUCUUUAUUCUUUCUUGAUAAUAUUUUCAAAGAUCAAUGGAGUCAUCUUUAUUAGAUACAAUUUGUACAUUUGAUCAAUGCCUAAUAUUUUCAAAGGGAGACCAUUUUCGGAUUUCAUAUUUGCUUCAAGAGGUUCAUUCUAUUAAGGAGCAAGAAAGAAAUGUAACUCAAUUUUUUACUGAUCUGAAAAUUCUUUGGGAGGAACUUGAAUGUCUAAGACCUAUACCUAGCUGUGUUUGUAACACUCUUUGCAGUUGUGCUUUGUUUAAAUUUUUUUUUCAAUACAGAGGAUUUGAGUAUGUUAUGUGUUUUCUAAAAGGUCUUGGUGAGAUCUAUAACACUGUUAAAACACGAAUUCCAUUUAUUGAGCCUUUUCCUAACAUAAAAAGAGUUUUUUCUUUGGAGAUUCACAAGAAAGGCAGCUGGAAACAACAAGAACAAGGUUCUUGAAAACCUCAGCUAGAAUCAGAAGACCUUUAACGACUUUGAUUGGGCAUCUUACCUAAACACAACACAUGCGCGAGUGUAGAAGUAUUUGAGAGACUCCUCUCUGUAGCUUUACCUUUUUGCUUUCUAAUAUUUGCUGUGUUUUAGGUUUUAUCCUUCAACCUUUUACUUUUUUGCCCUUCUAAAGGUUGUUUAGAAUGAUCCUCCCCCACACCUUUGCGUUGCAAGAGCCUUAUGAAACUGUGGUGCAUUAGUUUUUAGUUGAGGUGAGGUGAUUGAAUAACUAGAGAAUUUAGAAAGUUAGAUAUGAUAUGGCAAUUUUUUUCUAAAUCAAAGGAUUUGGUCUAAAACCCAAGAUUGUUGUUGAUCGUCUAAUAAUAUAAUUCUGCUGUUAUACAAUCAGUAAUUGUUGCCUUACCACCUCAACACUCAGUUGGAUUCUUUGGUAAGUUUAACAUUAACCAUGUUAAUUUUUUGUAUCUACGAUGAUAAUGCAUGUCAUCUGCAAUCUAUGUAGGAGAUGCAUUGAAGGUAAUGUUGGAUGCUGUUAGAUCAACUCUACAAGAAUCUGAGCAGGAAAUACUGAAUUCCUUAACUAAAUUUGUUGAUCAGUUGCCAUCAGUAAUGAAUGAGGUACUUGUUAACUGUUGAUUGAGGAUUAUUUUAUGCUAUUUAUUUCACUUAGGCACAUGUGUUAAUGGGAACACCUUGCAGGUGAAGUUUUGUUGUUCAUUCCCAUGCCUCCUGUUUUUGUUUAUGCACCAACCACAUCCUGCAUAACUUUUUCCUAGUUAAUUUUUCAUGUAUUGGUGGAUGCAUGUAUAAUUUCUAAGCCAAUGGGUAAAUAAAUAUGGAUGAACUUUGUGAUCAUUGACUUUUAGUGACUACUAAUAAUGAUGGACAAGUAUGAAGCCAACCUUAGAAUGGUUGAAUAUCUGUCUUUCAAUGUAAAUUUGAUUAUGAUGCUUAAAAGUUAAUUUACGUAUUAAUGAGUGCGAUGUGUCUGCAUGUUUCUUGAUGCUUAUAUAGGUUUCGCAAGGAGUAUCAGAGUUCAAGCCAACACCAUCUGAAAACCGUGAUUGCUUUAAAUGUUCAUACAACGUUGAGCACACAUUAUUGGUUUGUCUAAUGCUCUAUGCCUUAGAACUUGUUCUUCAACUCAUAACUCAUUCUUGAAAGAUGGUGUGGCAUUGGUAAGAUUUGUCUUAUAUUGUUUUUCUGCCACUCUAGGUGAAGUUCAAUUUUGACGCAAUUGACGAGACAGAUAUUCUUGAAGAAACAAUUAAGCCUCGUGUGGAGUCAUUGGGAGGGACAUUAGAGAAAGUAACAUUAAGUGGUAACCACAUCACACCAUGCAUUCAGGUCAAAUUUCCUUGCAUCCUCCUUUUGUACCAAACUUAUGUUCAUCACAGUAAAGUUUUCCUUAUUGUUGGAAUUUACUUUCUUGAAUUAUUAAGAAGUGAACUUUAAGCCUAUCUUAACCUUAUAAAAUCGACUUAUAAAGUGAGAUUUAUGUAUUAUGAAGUAUCAUUAUCUCUAGUCGACGUAGGAUUUUCAAUGAAGUACCUUCGUUCACAUGCAAAUUGCUUUAUAUGAAAUACAGUUUAAGCAUUCUAAAAUCCAUGGAGGAAUAGCAGAUUACAAACACUUUCAAGAGAGAAAAAUAAGAAGAAAAAAUGAAAUGAAAAUUUUCACCAGCUAAUAAGAUAAUUUGUCUAAAUUUUGUGGUGGCCAUUUUUGAUUUGGAGAUCAGGGAGCGAGGUGGGAAGUGGGUAAAUUGUAUACUCCUGCAGAUGCUGUUGCUCAAAGGCUUACAUCUCUUUCUUUGAAUGAUACAAAGAUCCUUGCAAGAACUAUCAGCGACUGGUUCAGACGAUAUGAGACUUGAAGUGAAAGGGAACACUUCCCAUUCCACAAUGCAAUAUAAUUGAACCCAAAGGUGAUAAUUGAAAAACCCAUGUAUUGUAUAUAACUUGUAGUUUAAGAUAAAUAUUGGUAGCUUAUAUAAUUUAUUGGAUUAUGCUUAUGUCCUUAUCUUUUUUUUAGAAUUUAGAUGUAUUUAGGGCUAAUUCUCCCUGCACCACAACAAUUUUGAUCUGCACCCAUCAUUUUUUUAAAUCCCAAAUUGCCCUUGUCAUCUUUUCUGGAUUUUUGCAUCCAGAAUGAAAAAAAGCUUCCGGAUUUUAGCAUCUGGAAGACAUUAUUGUGCUGCGGAUUGUCAUUCCCGAAGGCACAUCUCAGUUCUGGAUUUGUAUAUUCAGAACUGUCUUAUUUGCGUUGCGGAUAUAAAUAUCCGAAAAAUAAAGAUAAAACAAAACAUUUUCUUUGCAGGUUGGGUGUAGGUCAUUGAUAUGGUGCAGUGCGAAUUAGCCGUAUUUAGAGUCUAAGUUAAAAAAAAAAUCAUAGUAUAUUUGUACUUUUCAAAGUUUUCUAAUUAUAACUGUAGUUAGGAUAUGUUUUGAGAAACAUUUCCUAAAGAUUUUUUGGAAAAGAAAAAAAAAGUUAUAUCAGUUUUUCUUUUGUAAUCUCAGUAUUAUUAUGAAUUAGUUAUUGUCGGACUCAAUAAGUAACUAUUUCGGACUUGAGCACAUAUAUAAUGUGGAUACUUUUUUUACGUGGUUUGUUUUAUAUGUAUAAUGAAAUUAUUAAAAUUCAAAUUGUGAAUCAUUUGCUUGAAAAUAUAGAGUUUGUUAAUUUUAAUUUGUGGAUAAGUUAAUUUUAAUUUAUAAAUAAAUGAAAUUAAAAAAAAAAUUCUUUUUUUUUUCUUUUGAAAGUUUUUAUGGAGAAGAUUGUCAAAACGUAGUCUAAUUAUAUUUUAAUUUUUGAUAGUAGUAAUGUUAAGAUUAUAGUAUAGUGGUUAAUUUAGAUCAAGUCAUAGGGUUUGACCUACUGGAUAAGGAUAAGAACAAUCCAUAAAAAAAGACAAUUUCUUCCUACAUCAUAUCAAUUCUAACUUGAACCAUCUCAUUUUUCUAAUUUCCAAAAUUAUCCUUAUUAUGGAUUUAAAAAUCCAGAAUAAUAAAUAUAAUUCAAAAAUAAAAAAAAUACAUUAUGGAUAAAGAUAUUUGGAAUUCAAAAAAUGUGUUCCGAAUAUCUAAAUCAGGAAUAUUUCUGGAUAAAAGUUCUUGAAGUAAUUUCACUCUUCUUUUAUUUAAGGUUAUUUUCGUCAUUUUAAAGGGAUAUUUAUGUCAUUUUAAAUAACAGGUUGGGUGCAUGGAAUUGAUAUGGUGUAAGGAGCAUUUGCCAUAUAAAAAAUACCCACAUGAUCUAAAAGCCCACAAAAACCUUAUGUGCAAGGGUUAACUCAUGGGCUGAUAUUGUUUUAAAGAAAAACAUUUAUUCAAAAAUGAAAUCCAAUAAACAAUUACUAAAAAAAAACCUUUGAAAAUAAUUAUUUUGCUCCAACUUCAUAAUAUAAUAUAAUUUAAAUUAUUAAUAUUAGAAUCAAUACAUUAAUAAUUAGAAGUCUCACACUUACAACGAAGAAAAACCUGUAUUUUUACAAGUAAGAAAAACAAAACCACAAACUCAUGCAUUCAUAUUAUCUUUGCAGUUUAAAGAUUACUUUUUUCAAGAUUACUUUUUGACACAUUCUUUAUUUUUGCUUCUGUUAGCAAAUACCUCUCACAUUUAUGAGUAUCAAUAGGUGUUUUUACUCUAAAAAUAUGACUACCACCCACCUUACUAACCAACAGUAUAUAAAAUAAUUUUACUCUAAAAAAUCUAUAAAAAAUUAAUAAAUCUUAUUUUAAAAAUGAAUCUUUAGUUUUAUAGUUGGGUAAACAAACUUUAAUUACGAGUCUAACUUAUUUUGCAUAAGAGCUUUAGUAGUUGACUAUUAGAAACUAUUCAUUCACUCCAUUAAGAAAAAAAAAAGGUUUAUGAAUGGUUUGGAAUUAAUACAUGUAUUAAUGCUACAUUUAAGGCAUGUACUUACAACUAUAUUUUGAAAUAAUUAUGCUAUAGCAGGAAGGUACCAGCAAUAAUAUAAUAUACUGUAGUUAAAAAAAAUUAAGUUACUAAAUUAGAAAUUUCAAAGUUAUAACCAAACAAAUAUUGUAUUACAAUCAAUACAAUAUAUUUCAAUAAUGUAAUUAUUGAAACUUUGGAAAGUUAUAUGUAUAAACAUUUGUUUUUUAAAGUAACACAGUGAUUGGGUUGAAAAUUUAGCUUUUAAGAGUAUUCAGAAGAUACGUUGGAAUUUAAUACGCUGCCAAGAAUGAGUGAUUAGGCUCUAAAUAACACAAAUAUAAAAAAAGUGUAUAAAUUGAAUAACAUCAUUUUAAACUAUUAAAAUAUAUUGUAUUGACAAUUAAAUAAAACUAAAGGUUUGAAUUAUAUUUAUUCUUUCAGUAGAACUUGUCUGCUUUAGUUUUGUUUAGAAAAUAAAGCAAAAUAAAUGAAACCAAAUUUAUAAGUUGCAAAUUUGAAGUAUUCAUGAAAGGAUUAACCAUAAUGUUUUUCAUUUUUCAAGACAAUGUUCAAGAACUCACUAAUUUUGCAUCAAAAUCAAAUAAGUUAGUGAAUUGUUUUUCAGUCAAACUGAGAACUAAGAUUAAACAUAUAAAGAUGCAUUUUUAUAUUGUAAUAAAUAUAAGAAAAUAAAAGAAUAAUGUUAUUUUUUAAAGAUGAUGUGAUUGAUGUUUAAAAAAUGUUCACUUUUAUACAAUUAAAAAUUUAGUCAUAGGUAACUUUCAAGGUAUCUUCAGUCUUUUUUUUUUUUAUUCUUGAUCUUUUGAUUUGUAUGAGAUUGAUUCAGUAAUGUUUGUUAAGUGGUUGAUUAGGCUUUUUGUUGUGGUCUAGGUAUUGUUUGUUGUUGGUAAAGUGUUAAAGUGUUCUAGGGGGAGGAUUAGAAGUUAUUUUUCAAUUUGUAUAAAGGAUGGAUCAUCCUGAAGUGGUUUAUAUUAUUUUAUUCUUUCUUGUUAAUAAAAAAAAAAUUAGUAAAUAACAAACUAAACAUUUUCAUAUUCUCUUUUUUAUAAAUUGUUCAAAUCUGUGCACUCAAAAUUGAGGUUAGAUUUCACAAGGGUUCAUAAAUACCAACCUAAAAUUAUUAGAAAUUAAAAUUCAACAAAAAUGCUUGUGUUUGAUUCUCUUUUAUUCUUUAGAUAAAAAUUGAUUGGUUUAAUUUUCUUAUUUAAAAAAAUAAACACACUAAACUAAACCAAAUUUAUAUAAUUAUGACUUUACUUCGUUUAUUUUGCAGUAAAUGUUUCCACUCCUUUUUACUAAACAUUCUAGGUUAAUAUAUUAAUUAGUAGUGUAUAUAUUAAUAAUGUUCAAUUAAGAUAUAUAGGCAAUUCUCUUUUGUAAAUUGUAAUAUGUAAUAAAAGAAUGUAAACAAAGUUAAAGCUAACAAAAUAAAAACUAAUUAAAUCAAUUUAAUGAAAUAUAUAAAAAUUAGCUUUCUUCUAAAUUUAUUAUUUUUUUAACUAACCAUAUUAUUGAUAUAAAGUAUUAUUAACUUUUAUCAAUGAUUUCGUUAUAACUUUUCAUUUGUUAUUUCUUUCAUUAACAAAAUUCAAACUCAGAAAUUUACUUAAUAAGUUGAGUUUAGCAUUACUCAAACCAACAACAGAGUUAUAACUUAACUAUAAUGAGGGUUGAAUUGAAAGCGGUGAAGUAACAAAAAUAUAAAUCCAAAAGCUAACCUAAUUAGUUUACUCUGCCAUAACUGUUUAAAGAGUCCAUCAGUCAGACCAUUGACUUGAUUAGCGAGACACACGUAAGCUGACUUAACUGAGAGUUCCCCUAUAGUAUCCCCUCCCCAAAGUUGGAGGUCUGAUUCCUCCCUAUUCAAAACUCCCUUAGAGAUGAACCUUGACAUUUCUUCUUCUUGUACAGAUUCCCAGUCAAACCUGACCCUCCCCCACCUCAACCUCCAGUACCAAACUAUGUCUUCCCACACACCUACCUCGCCCAUCAUCAUCCCCUAGUCUAAUGAUAUGGAAUACAACCUAGGGUACAAAUUAGCAAGUUUACUGUCGCCAAUCCAAACAUCAUCCCAGAAUCUUGCUCUGUCCCCAGAUCCAACUUUCCAAACUAAUGUUUUUUGGAAUCAUCCUUGGUCUUCUCCGUCGCCACAUACUUUACUUAAGUCUCUCCACCACCAAUAUUGGAAUUUCACAUUGGUCUGGCUUCGCCCUGAUUCCAAGUCGUAUUUUAAUGCAAGAAUAUCUUUCCACUUUCCUUGUUCUUUGCUCACCAACCGCCAUUUCCAUUUUGCUAACAGAGCACUGUUAAACAUUCUGGUAUCUCUAAUCCCCAGCCCUCCUUCCUCUAGAGGUUUGCAUACAUUCUCCCAAUUGACCCAGGCUAUUAAUGUAUGAUCUCUUUCCCAUGCCCAAAGGAACCUCCUCUGGAUACUGAUUAUUCUAUUACACAUCGAUGUCGGAGCUUUAUAGAAGGAUAAAUAAAAUAGGGAUAAGGCAGAAAAUACCAACUUAAUAAAGAAAAUUCUUCCUGCCUAACACUUAUCUCAUUCAAAAUUGACUCCCAAAACUGCUUUUUCCAUGGGUUACCUCCUACUUCAAACCCCAGGUAAAUGAAAGGUAUCCUCAUGAGAGUAUAAUUUAAAGAUUUUGCAUUUCAUUUAAGGGAAUUCCUCUCAACAUUUGAUUUGUGGAAGUUAAUUUUCAAAACCAGAGACCAACUCAAAACACCUUAAUAUAACUUUAAUUGCAAUGAAAUUGGAGAAGGAGUCUUCACACAUGACUAAAGUAUCAUCCGCAAAUUGUAACAUGCAAGAUUCAAUCUCACUCCUUCCCACCUUCACACCUUUAAGUAGAUUCUCCUUAAAGCGCUUGUCUAAGUAGCCCGCCCAAGCCUUCAGCUACAACAAGAAAGAGGAGCGAAGCUAAUGGAUCUCCCUACCUCAACCCUCUAGAUGGAUAAAAUUCUGUCGUGGGGCUUCCAUUCAGCAGAACUGAUACCGUUGCAGACUUCAAGCAGCCUUUGACCCACUUGAUCCAUUUAUAGUGAAAGCCCAGUCUGUGUAGCAUAUCAUAUAAGAAAUUCCACCUUAUUGAAUCAUACGCCUUUUCAUAGUCCACCUUCAAACACAAUCCACUCCUCUAGUACCUCCUUAUCUCCUCAACCACCUAAUUGGCCACUAAGACGCGCUAUCAAACAUUCAUCUAACCAACUGGAUGUCAUCAAUAACCAUAGAGAGUACAUUCUUAAGGUUUAUAUUGAUCGAGAUUUAUGGGAUCUCUUACUUUAGGUACUAAGGUUAUAAAAGAGACAUUACAACCCUUCGAAAAGCAACCUGUUUCCUGAAAACAAAGCACAACUUCCACAAUGUUGUGCUUAAGAGUAUCCCAGUUAUACUUGAUGAAGUUAAAAUAAACUCAUCUGGUCAUGAGUUCUUUGAACCUUCACACGGCCAAACCUCUUCCUUUACUUCUUCCUCUAUAACAUUAUAGAUCAUACUUAAAAUAGCCUACUAAGGUAAAGUUAGUGAAUUGUUUUUCAGUGAAACUGAAAAGUACGGUUGAACAUAUAAAUAUGCACUCCGAUGUUGUUUUGGUUGAAACUCCAGUCACUGAUCAAUUAGUAUAUAUAUAGACAAACUAAACAUUUUCAUUUUUUUUAAUAAAUUGUUCAAACCUUAUGGUAAAAACUGAGGUUAGAUUUUAGUGUUGAGAGUUGAAUCACACCAACCUAAAGUAUUAUUAUAAAUUAAAAUUCAACAAAAAUGCAUGUAUUUUCUUUUAUUCUUUAGAUCAAACUUAUUGGUUUAAUUAAAAAAAAAUCAAACACACUAAAUUUAACCAAAUUUAUAUAAUUAUGACUUUACUUAAUUUAUUUUACAAGCUUGUAAAUGUUUCCACUCCUUUCUACUAAACAUUCUAGGGUACUAUAUUAAUUAGUUGUUUCUAUAUUAAUAGUAAUGUUCCAGUAAGAUAUAUAGGCAAUUUUGUAUUGUAACGUAAUAAAAGAAUAAACACAGUUAAAGUUAAAAAAAAAACUAAUUAAAUAAAUUUAAUGAAAUAUAUAAAAAAUAUUUUUCUUCUGAAUUUAUUAUAUUUUUAACUAACCAUAUUAUAGAUAUAAAGAAUUAUUAACAUUUAUCAAUGACUAAUUUUUGUUAUAAAUUUUUACUAACUAUUUUUGGUAUGGUCGUUCAUCCCAAUGGUUAUUUGUUUCAUUAAUAAAAUUCAAACUCAAAAUUUACUUUGAAUUUAGUAUUACUCAAUCCAACAACACUUAACUAUAAUUAACGGUUGAAUUGAAAGUGGUGAAGUAAUAAGAGGAUAAAUCCAAGCUAACCUAAUGGAUUAAAUUGAAAAUAAAAUAAAAUUUAGUUAAACUUGAAUAAAUUACAUUUUAAACUUAAAUUUAUUAAUUUAAUGGAUGAUUAAUUUCAUUUGAAAACUUGAGCUUGAAAUAACUGAGCCUAGAGAAGACUCAUAGGUCUUCACAAUUAAUAGAAUGGGACCAAAACAAGUCUUAGUCAUGUAAGCAUUGAGUAUUUAAUUCAAUCUUUGGAUAUUUGCAACCUUCUUAUAUGGUCCAGCCUAUUCUGCCAUUGUUGGAUGGUUACAAAGCUUUACUUCCCAUGCAACAUCUAAUAUAGAAGAGUAGAAAUCAUUGCUUGCAAUAUAACUUAAUUCAAAUGUUAUAAGCAUCAACUCUUAUCUUUAAAACAAAACAUGGAAUGUGUAAAACAAUUUCAAUCACUCUUGCAUGCCAAACUUUUAUCAACACUCUUAUGUUCUACUUAGUGCCCACCGCCAAAUUCAACAUCACCGCCACCGCCACCACCAAAGCCACCACCAACUCCAAAGCCACCGUCGCCACCAAAUCCGCCACCUCCACCUACACUCCUCCAAUUCCGCCUCCAAUUUUGCAUGUAUGAGUUUGUUGAGAGACACUUUUGGAGUGAUGACCGCUAUCUUUUACUUGCCUCUCUCAAAGGUAGCAAUUCUGAACAAAAUUGGGACCCUUUAGAGAUAAGGAAAGUUGGUAGUGAUAAUGACAUAUUAAAACAAUUAAAUAAUAAUGGUCCCCUCAAAAUUAGCUUUUAUAAGAGAAAGGGACCUCAUGAGUGACAUUAUUGUAGUUCUUAAAUGACAAGUGUGUUAUCAAUUUUAUUAUUUCAUAGUAAAUGUAAAGAGUUUUGAGUACUUAUCCAUCACAUUUUAUGUAUUUUUAAUCUUUAAAUAAUUUACAUAUGUAUUUAUUAUGUAGGUGGAAAAUAAAAAAGUAAAAAAGAAAAUUCUAUAUUUAUUUUUAUUAUAAUAAAGUUUUUUUAUUAUAUUUCUUGUUACUGGCUAAACGAAAAAGAUAAUAAAAACAUGAGGGAGUAACUUAUUAAGUUCUUUUAUCUCUAAGAUACGACUUUAGGAAUUAUAAAUUGAAUUAAACUUAAUUAUAGUGAACAUUAAUUAAGAGUGUUUAAUUGAUGGGAAUCUUAAAGAAUCAAAAUUUGUAAUUUAUUGUGAGUAGGGUGCAUGAAGGAGAAAGAAAAUAAGUCAACCGAUAUGACCAUAAAUACUGUGAUUCAAUCAAGUAGAAGUCUGCAAAGUCUUUGAAGAUGGACAGAAAGAUGCAGUGUAAAUAAAUGUUGCAAGUCAAGGUUUUUUUAUUAUAAUUAUUUCUCUAUUUUCUGUGUAAAAGGAAAUUGGUGUCUUUCUGAUUAAGAUUUUGAUUAGUUUAUUUUAAUUUAUUAUUAACUAUCUCUUCAAAGGUGUGAUGUGAUAGUGAAAAAAUAAAGACAAUAAAGAAGUUUAGAAAAAGUAUAGAGAAUUAAUAAAUAUAAAGAAAUGAAAUUUUAUAAGAAAAAUAAAGUUUUUUAAAUUUAUUUAUAAUAUUUAAAAAAAUUCAUUUUAUUCCACGUAAUUCUAUUAACUUAAAUAAUUUGGUUGUUACACAUAAUAUUUUUUUAUAAUUUAGGUUUCGUGUAUGUUCAUAUAAGUUUAAAAAACUUAAGCUUUCAUUGUAACAUUUUUGUAUAGCAUCAAAUAAUAAAAAACAUAUCAUAUAAAUCAUUUAUUAGAUAUAGAAAAAAAUAGAUAAAAAUUUUAUUUUUUUAUAAUAUCACUUAUACUUCUUACUAUAUGAUAUUUAUAGGCUAAAAUAUAAUUUUGAUCUUUCUAUUUGUUUCAAUUCAUAAUUUUGAUCACUCUACUUUAAAAUAUAGAUAUUUGGUUUUCAUUUUUUUUAAAAUUAUUGAUCUUACUUUGAUUAUGCAAAUUAAGACUUUGAUAUGUAGGUCAUGUUUCAAUAAAUUUAUGCAUAAGAAUUUAAGUAAACAAAAAUUAAAGUUAGUUUCUCACGAGAUAAAAUUAGUUUAUAUUAAAUUUAAUUUGUAGCAGUUCUUUUAUAAAAAAAAAUCAUUUUAAUUUAUGUAUAAAUUAAUAUUUUAGUUUAUGAUUUUUUUUGGUAUGUUUUCCUAUAUUAGAAAUCUUGAUGGCGAAAUUAGUCUAUUACUCAAGUAUUAAUAUUAAAACAUUAUAAUGUUAACUUACACGUCACAUAUUAAUAUGAUAAUAACGGAAACAUGAAAAUAUACGCAAUUUUUUUCAUGACUCGAAAACUUCUUAUAAUUACGAAUAAAACGUUAUUUGUGUAUGUACUUUUGGUAAACUUUUUGUUUAUCCUAUUAAAAAAAGUAACAAACAAUAUUUUAAUCGAGACAGUUAGAAUAAAAUCAUUAUUUUAAAAUAUUGAAGAACUGAAUAUUUUAGAACAAGAAAAUGGAGAAAAUUGUAUAUUAGUUUUUUUUCUGUGUAUUUUAAAAUGAAUUUGUUGUAUUUAAUUUGUGUACGAAUAUUUCAUGUUGGAAUUUUUGCAGUGCUCAGAAGCUGAAUUAUCGGAAAGUACACUUCCAAAUCUUCUCUCAGGUGUCUGCAGAAAUAGUAUGUUUUCUAGGAUUAUUGCACACAAUUAUGGUUCAAGUAAUCCGUCACAAAAGAUGAAGUUUUGAAUAGCCGUUACGGUUUCUGUCAUAUUUUCAACCAUGAAAAUAGAAAAUAUUUAGUCACAACACAACAAACAAAUGAGAAAUAAAACAUGAAAAUAGUGAAAUGAGAAAACAUAUAAACAAAUUUAUACAUACGGUUUUUCUUCAAGAAUUUAAGCCUUAAAUUUACUUUUAUUUUUUUAUUUUUUUUCUAUUUGAAUGGAGAUUUCAUUCAAUAUUAUGCUAAUUAAGUUAAAACUUGUAGUGACAGUUAAUUUUAAUUGGUUAAUUACUAUAAUAAGUUGUUAAUGUUCAUAAUUACUAUAAUCAAUUGUUAAUGAAAAAGAGAGCACUACAAAUUUAAAUAAACUAUAUAAUGUAAGACUUGGGAAGGAAUCAUCUUAUAUCAUAAUCAUAAACCUUCCUUUACAAUAGAAACAUGCAUUCAUCCUAUAUUGAAUUUCUCAUACCAAUCAAAUUAAAAAAAUGGUUACAAAAAUUAUGAACAAAUUUCAUUGAUUUUGUUGUUUGAGAAUGCAAUUUAUUUAUUUUGUUGUUGAAUGAUUUUGGUAAGGGAAAGGGUAUUUAGCAAAGAUAGAGGCAAAGUUUGUAUUGUAGCGUUGAAGACAUGACUCGGUGUGUGACUGAGUGAGACCAAUGAGCUGAAGAAAUCCAUUUAAAGUGGGUGGUAAUAAAAUGGUAACAAGCGUAGUUUGCCAAAAUAGGGGAAAAUCCAAAACAACAUAAAAGCUCUAUGUUGUCCCCAUCUCUUUAUAAUAAUACUCGAGGCCUUGAAGAAGAUUUAAAACUUUUUUGCUUCACUAUCUUCCUGUAUAUUAUGACUUGGUAUCUAUUAUAGGAGAAAAACCAUGAUUCCACCAACUUUUCCUCUCCCUUCUCCCUUCUAUUCACACCCAUGUUCAUACAAAACCCCAUAGAAAUGAGAGGUAGAGAUAGUCUCUAAAGCAAAAAAAAAAAGUUCAUAGAAAUUCAACAAGACCCUCCUCCUCCUCCAUCUCCUCCUUCUUAACUCUUAUUUGCUUACAAUCAUAAGAAAAAAUUGGACACCUUAAAACCAAUACACUCCACCAUUAACAACAAAGCCUCAAGUUGUGUUGAUGUUGAUGUUGAUGGCCAUGUUUCCCCAAAUCAAAAUCUAAGACAACAACAUGGCCAACAACGACUCAGGAGACAAGUUAGAAGAAGGCUUACUAACAUGCCUUAUCAAGAAAAGCUAAUGAAUAUAGCGGAGGCAAGGAAAGAGAUUGUCACUGCCUUGAAUACCACAACGCAACCAUGAAACUGGCUAAUGAGCAUCAACAACUCCAACAAAAUCAACCACUGUCUUUCCAUCCUCCCUUUUAUUCAAGGUUUAGCCCAAAUGGAAGAUUCAAGGCUAGGAGAAGGCCUAGGAUGUUUCUAUCAUCCUCAAACAAAAUUUCACAUUACUUAAAUGAUCUUUCUUACUCCUCUCCCUUCCCACCCUUUCCUUCUCUUCAUUUUCCUCCACCUCCUCUUCCAAUUCCAAAUUUCUACCCCAACACCAUUCCUUCUCCAUUUGCUCAUCCACCCCUUCAGCCAAAACUCCCAAUUUCAUACUUUUAAGUCAGGCAUUGAGAUUCAACCUCAAUCUACACAGUUUCGACAAUUUAGGACCCCCCUUUUGCUUAAUAACAACACAUUGGAUCCUACCAUUUUGCUUAACAACAACACUUUGGAUCCUACCCUUUUGCUGGAUAACAACAUGUUAGAUCCUCCUACCCUUGUGUUGGAUAACAACAUGUUGGAUCCUACCCUUGUGCUGAAUAACAACAUCAUUUUAGAACCUGCCCUUUGUCCUUACAACAAUAACUAAUUACUAUGCUCUUACUCAUCUCCAACAUUAAUUUCCCAUCCAUUUGUGACUGACCAAGACGUUCCUUUGAUUGGAAUAUCACAGUCACAGGGAGAAAGGGUUUCCACAGUGAUGAAUAUCGUUGAAUCCAGUACUACAACUCAAGCUAGUGGAAGCAUGCAUGUAGCCAUGGAUGAAGAGGGCCUAAAAGAGAUCAGAGCAUUGGGCGAGCAACAUCAAAUGGAAUGAGAUGACAAUGAGUCUGGUCACUACAAUUUGGUGGUUUGAUUGCUAACAACAAAUGGAACAUAAUGCACUUGAAGUCAACAAUGAAGUUGAUAUAUGUCAGGGAUCUUGGAUGAUGAACUUGAAUUUCCUUUUUGGGAAAGUUAAUGGUCGGUAAGACAAGCUUUCAAUAGUGUGCUCCCUGGAUUUAGUCCAAGAUACCACUUUACUCUGGUAAGUUGUACAUAUAAUGUUUUGUUACUUUUGAAAGAAAAUGUAUUGUGAGCAGGGAAAGUUAAUAAGGAUAAAAAUAAGUCAACUCAAACCAUCAAGGAAAAUGUCACCAUUUGUCAAAAGGUAAGCAUGAAUAUUUUUUUCAGCAUAAAUAAAUAAAAUAAAAUGAGACACUUCAGGAGUGUCCCAACUCUUAUACAAUCAACACCAUACCACAUACUAACCAAAUCAAAUGAGUAAAAAUCUUUAAGCUAUCAACUCUACCAUUCUUAAAAAUUAUGAGAUUCUUUUGCUUCUAAAUUUCCCCAACCACAACAAUCCACACAUUUUCCCAGAUGUUGUUAAUCUUUUGUGUUGCCCAACCAAGUUUAAAUUGCAAAAAAUGGGAUAUGGAAUCCCAAUGGUACACCAUAAUCUCCCUUAUCCACUUACUACAUAAGCACCAAACCCUCCAAGCUACUUUACAUUUAAAGAACACAUGACUUCCGGAUUCCUCGACCUCCCCACACAUAACACACAAGAUUUUUUUCCAAAUUUACCCCUAUUUUCUCCAAGUUAACACAAGUCGGUAGCCUAUCCCCCAAAACUCUCCAAGCAGUUAUCAUUGAAUAAGGUAACGUCUUAAUGCUCCAAAAUGCCUCAUAGAGUGAUCUAAAACCCCACUUCUUGUGUCCUUAGACAUCUAUAUGUUGAACUUGCAUUUGAUCCCAUGCAUGGUUACCGGUGCUCGCAUUUGCUUACAAAAACACUAGGAAUUUGAGCUUGAAAUAAUUGAGCCCUAGAGAAGACUUAAAGGUCUUCACAAUUAAUAGAAUGGAACCAAAACGAGUCUCAAUCAUGUAAGCAUUGUGUAUUUAAUUCAAUCUUUUGGAUUUUUUCGACCUUCUUAUAUGGUCCAACUUAUUCUGCCAUUUUUGGAUGGUUUCGUUUUAGCUCACACUUCAAUUUGCAUGUAUAACCAUUUGCUAUUCAUAUGCAAUUUCUAUCCUUCUAUUUGGUCAAGCUAACAUCAAGUUAAACAAAAACAAAAAUGUGUGUGCGUUGACAUGUAGGUUGCAAUAAUGCUCACAAAAAUGGAAAAGUACUUUGGAUAACACAUCAAAUUUACAUUAUAGUGAACCAUGAAAUAUAAGAAAUGUAUUAAUUGUACACAUUUUCAACUAUGUUGAAUUUAUGAUCAUAGAUGAAAUUAGGUUUGGGUUUAAAAUUAUUAUAACAGUGUAGUUAGGUUGGUGGUAAGACUAGGUUUUAACCAAGUGAUAGAGGUACAUAAGUUUUGCAUGUAUUAAUUUGUUGAGAAACAUUUUUGCAGUGAUGACCACUAUAUUUUACUUGCCUCUAUCAAAGGUAGCAAUUCUAAACAAAAUUGAGACCCUUUUGAGGUAAGAAAAGUUGGUAGUGAUAAUGGCAUAUUAAAACAAUUAAACAAUAAUGUCCCCUCAAAUUGGUCGUUAUAGAAGAAAGGCAUGUAAGGUUUUUAGGAUUGAAGAAAGUGGAUUCAAGUGUGAGUUAGUUUUUUGUGGGUGAGGGUUUUUCAUUUGUAUAUGUUUUUGUGGGUUUUUUGUGGUAUUAGGGGAUGUUUUGGUUGUAUUGUGUUUUGCCCUUAUAAGGAUCCUGACAGUGUAGUUGAUGUUUUCUUUUGAUAUGGCCUACCAUUCAUAUUCAUUAUUAAGGAUUGGUUGGGUGGUUUCUUGAGCCUGAAGUUUGUUUAUAGAUCAGGUGUUAAGCAGGUUGGCCAUGAUCAUUUUUGUAUAAGGGUUGAGACACUCCCGAAGUAUUUGUAUAAGAGUUGGGACACCCCUAAAGUGUCGCAUUUUAUUUUAUUUAUUAUUUGAGGAUAAAAAAAUAGGAGAAAGGGACCUCACGAACUUGUUAGAGGUAAGAGGUGAGUGACAACAUUGUAGUUCUUAAAUAACAAGUGUGUUAUCAAUUUUAUUAUUUCAUAGUAGAUGUGAAGACUUUUCAUACACUUAUCCAUCAAAAUUCAGUAUUUAUUUUAUCUAUCAUUUCAAGGGUAACAUGAUAAAUGAACAUUAAUAGUUUAAUGUCGUCUUGUGAAGAAAUCAAUUCAAACUUUAAGAAAUUUAUCUUCUAGCUUUUUUAAACAAUGUAGAUCUUGUAUGAAGGUAACAUCUGAAAGUCUCAUGCUCCCUCGUAUUAUAUCUUAUGAUUCUAUACUCUUUUGAAAUCAUGAUGAAAUUUAAAAUAAAUAAAUUUUUAGUUUUUAUAAUGACUUUAUUUAGUUUUUAUUUAUAAUGACAUCAUCCAUUUAAGAUUCACCACCCUCACAAACAUUCAUACUAGCACACUUUUCACUCUCCAUUCUAGAUUGACCACCCUCACAAACAUUGUCACAAACCCCUUAUUCACUCUCCAUUCCAAUCCUAACAUCCUCCACAUCAUCAGCUAGACAAUGAAAUUGAGUCACAAUCUAUGAAGAAAUGCAAAAGGAAAAAAAAAAUACUUACUACGAUUUCAAAAUCAUGUUUCCACUUAGCACAACGAAGAAAAACACACUAUUACAAAGCACUAUUUUCUUCACCUUGCUUCCAAUUGCAACAACAAUGACACAAUUGCAAUCACUCAAUAUCAAACACCUUCUUCUACACUAUAAAUGAUUCAAAUAUUUCCAGUCAAAUGCAAUCAUUCCUAGGUUUAAAAUUCAAAGUAAAAUCCACAAACCAUAUACUCCAUUUGUCACAUCAUAAACUCGUAAAUACCGUCUAUUAUUGAGGAUGUUUUACAUAACUUCAUAAAAUACAAUGAUGCAAUAUAACUACACAUUCUAUGAAGGACGAAAUACAGUAUUUGACGAAAAACAUAUUUAACUCUUAUAUAUUUUAAAUUUUUUAAUAAUCUCAUAAAAAAAAUUAUAAUAAAUAAAUAAAUCGUAUUUUAAAAAUGAAUCUUUAAUUUUACAUUUAGAUAAACAAAUUUUAAAUAUGACUCUAACUUAUUUUGUAUAGAAGUUGAAACUAUUAUAAACUAUUCCUAAGAAAAGAAAAUGUUAUUUUAGAAUGGUUUGGAAUUAAUAUAUGUAUCAAUGCUACAUUUAACGCGUCUACUUACAAGUAUCUUUUGAAAUAAUUAUGCUAUAGUAAACAAAUACCAGCAAUAAUAUAAUAUAUUGUAGUUAAAAAAAAUAAGUUACAAAAUUAGAAACUUCUAAGUUAUUAUCAAAAAAAUAUUAUAUUACAAUUAAUACAAUAUAUUUUAAUAAUGUAAUUAUUAAAAUUUUUGAAACUUAUAUAUAUAUAUAUUUGUUUUUAAAGUAAUACAGUAGCUGGAUUGAAAAUUUAGCUUUUAAGAGUAUUCAGAACUCUAAAGUUGUAGGUACAUGUCGCAAGUGAAUAUGCUGACAAGACUGAGUUAUUAGGCUUUAAAUAACACCUAUAUAAAAAAAAAUAUGUAUAAAUUGAAUAACAUAAUUUUAAACUAUUAAAAGUUGAAAAUUAAAUAAAACUAAAGGUUUGAUUAUAUUUAUUCUUUCAGUAGAAUUGUCUGCUUUAGUUUUGUUUAUAAAAUAAAGCAAAAUAAAUGAAACCAAAUUUAUAAGUUACAAAUUUUAAGUAUUCAUGAAAGGAUUGACCAUAAUGUUUUUAGUUUUGCAAGUUAAUGUUCAAGAAUUCACUAAUUUUGCAUCAAAAUCAAAUAAGUUAGUAAAAUAAGUUAGUGAAUUGUUUUUCAAUGAAAUUGAGAAGUAAGAUUAAACAUAUAAAGAUGCAUUUUCCAUGUUGUUUUGGUUGAAAUUUCAUUCUAAGUUGUUUCAUUGCUUCAUUAUGAAGUCAUUAAUUGAUCAAUAAGUAGAUAGACAAACUAAACAUUUUCACAUGAUGGGUAAAUGAUAAAAAAUGAUAUGUUAGAUUUCAUCCUCUUCUUGUGAGAUGAGAGUUUCUUUCACCAGGUUAGAUUAAAAUUAACACUAAUGGGGUUGCUAGGGGAUAUCCUGGUUUUGCUACUUGUGGAGGUAUUUUCUGUGGGAGUAUGAGGAAAUUUAUUGGAGCUUUCUCUGCCUUUCUUGAAGUUCAGAUUGCUCUAAUUACUGAGUUUUAUGAGGUUAUACAUGCUAUGGAGGAAGCUCAAAAGAUGGAGCUUAUCAAUGUCUGGUUGGAAUGUGAUUCUGCUUUGGUUUGUGCUGCGUUUACUGCUAGGACAAAUGUUUCUAGGAUGCUUUAGAAUCGAUGGAAUACUUGUCUUAAUUACUGUGGGAAAAUCAAGUUUAGGAUUACUCAUAUUUUUCGUGAAGGGGAUGUGCAUGCUGAUAAGUUGACUAAUUUAUGAUUUAUUCAUAGAAAAUAAUUUCAUUAUUUUUUUUUUCAUCAGCAACAUUGGUUUAAUAAGUUUCUAUCUAAUUUAUUAUUAGAAUUCUUUAUGAAUAGGUAUAGUCUAUCUAUGUAUCGUUUUUGUUAAUAUAUGGGUUUUGGCCUAGUCCUCUCAUAUUUUUGUAUUUUUUUUAAUAAUACUUUUUUCAUGUGAUGACAAAUAAUUAUUGUUAGUUGAGAUGUCAGUCUAGCUAAGAUGUCAAUUGCAUAAUGAUGCCUAACAUAAAAGCAUUUUUAUAAAACUAAACAUUUUCAUAUUCUUCUUUUAAUAAAAAUUUCAAACCUGUAUACUAAAAAGUGAUGUUAAAUUUCAAAAGUCUUAGUAGUUUAAUCACAUCAACCUAAAAUAUUAUUAGAAAUUAAAAUUCAAUAAAAAUGCUUGUGAAUAAUUAUCUUUCAUUCUUUAGAUCAAAAUUGAUUGUUUAAAUUUUUUAUUUAAAAAAUCAAACACAGUAAACUAAACAAAAUUUAUAUAAUUAUAACUUUACUUCAUUUAUUUUACAAGCUUGUAACUGUUUCCACUCCUUUCUACUAAACAUUCUAAGUUAAUAUAUUAGUUGUGUCUAUAUUAACGAUGUUCCAUUAAGAUAUAUAAACAAUUCUGUUUUGUAAAUUGUAACGUUAUAAAGGAAGGCCGAUAAAAAAAAAAUUUAAUAAAAGAAUAAACAAAGUUAAAGUUAAAAAAAAUAAAAAAACUAAUUCAAUCAAUUUAAUGAAAUAUACAAAAAUUAGUUUUUUUUUUAAUUUAUUAUCUUUUAACUAACCAUAUUAUUGAUAAUGAGUAAUUUUCAUUAUAAAUUUUCACUAAUUACUAUAUUUGAUAUGUUUUUUUAUUAACAAGAAACAAUUAAAAUAAAUCGGCUAUAUUUCACAUAAACAUAAAAAAAUUAUAAAGAAAUCUUCUAUUGCCUUUCUCAACACUACCUAUUACAAAAGAAACAAAAAAUAUCAAGAAUCACUCCACCUUUGAAGCAUCAAAGACCAAACCUUAAUUUGUGUUAAAAAAAAAUUUCAGUAUGAUCGAUCACUCCACCUCUACCUAAACAAUUAUUUAUAUGUCUUCAAAUCUCGCUAACCUAUAAGCUUCAUCGUCGAGAGGGAAACAGCUCGGAUCACUAGCUAACGUCCCUAAAUGACCGCUCAGUGAUAAAGGAGGUAGGGUGCAGAGACAACUAGGAGGUUUGCCUAGAAGCAGCCACCCUUAGUGCGUAAUAGCUCAGUGAUCGAGGACUCUUGCACCAAAGCUAUGGGUUGUCAAGGGACGAUAAGAUCAACCGAACUCACUCUUAACCAAUAGUAACAAAGAUUCUAAAUUUGCAUCCAAAAAAUAAAUGAUUUGUUGACUCUCUAAUAUCCGAAUAAGUAACAAAUAUUGUUCUCGGUCGCUAUCUCUCGUCUCUCCAAAUUUAUCUUAGAAACUACCUUAUUUUUAAUAACCCUCCAAAUUGUCACGUGAGUCGAAAGAACUCCUUUUGCUUUCGUCGUCAAUCAACUCCACCUCACCCCUCAUCAACCUGCACUGUCCCUGCCACCGCACACCCGCCGCGCACCUCCGUACCGCCGCCGUACCCCACCUCCCGCAACAGCGCCAGCGCUGUUCGCCGCCACACGCGACUCCAACGCUGCCCCCGCUACCGCACCACCGCCAACCUCCGUCCCCGCUCUGCCGCCUUUGACGUCUUCAAGAACGUGUCUUUGUCGGAACCCCCAACGUUUUCCUCCGCUGCGUCGCGGCCAUUCUCGGCAUCGCAGAGAGUUCCGCUCCAACAGGCACGCUGUCUUGCUCACCUUCUGAUUCUCCGCCGUGACCUCCACAGGCACCGCCGCCUCCCAUCCUGUUCGCCGCUCCUCCAGACCAAACCCUAACUGUAUAGCCACGUCAGCAAUUAGGUAAAAAAUUAGGAUUUUUCCACCCAACUUUUUGUACCCAAUUGGGCCUGAACCGGCCCACUACUACACAUUAAGUCAUUUGCCCAUAUUUCAGCAGGAACCAUCCACGUUUUUCAAUUUAAUAUUUCUCUCUUUCCUUAGUUCCAAAGUUAGUUUUGAGUGCUUCCAGCAGAAUUAAUUCCUCCACUAAAGUAUGUGCCACCUUUUCAAAACUCUCCCCUCAUCGGAAACUGAAGAGGCUUCUCCUUUCAUCCAAUGGUUCUUUCAUUAACAAAAUUCAAACUCUGAAAUUUACUUAAUAAGUUGAGUUUAUUAUUACUCAAACCAACAACACUUAACUAUAAUGAGGGGUUGAAUUCAAAGAGGUGAAGUAACAAAAAUAUAAAUCCAAGCUAACGGAUUAAAUUGAAAAUUAAAUUACUUUAACAUAUAUAAAUUACAUUUUUAACUGUAGAUUGAAAUAUUUAUUAAUUUAAUGGAUGAUUUUAAUUUCAUUUGAAAAUUUUACUCACUUUCCAAAUCCAAAAUCAUGUACUUAAAAAGAAAUAUUUAUUAAUUUGACGGUUACUUUGAUUUGAAAACAUUACUUCUUGAAAAGAUAUCCUAAAUGAAAAGAAUGCAAUGCAAUCUAGGUUAGUUAUGUAUGGACCAAAGAAGAUAAGAAAAUCUCAUAAUUCUUUCUCAUCUUUUGCAAUGAAGAGAUAAGGAGAAGAUAGAAUCACCAUUUGGCAAAUGUAAUCUAGGUUAGUUAUGUAUGGACCAAAGAAGAUAAGAAAAUCUUAUAUUUCUUUCUCAUCUUUUGCAAUGAAGAGAUAAGAAGAAGAUAAAAUCACCAUUUGUCAAAAGGUAGGCAUGCAUGGCUACCGUGCUCACAUUUGCUUACAAAAAAACUAGGAAUUUGAGCUUGAAAUAACUGAGCCUAGAGAAGACUUAUAGGUCUUCACAAUUAAUAGAGUGGAUCCAAAAUGAGUUUCAGUCAUGUAACCAUCCAUCUAUUUAAUUCAAUCUUUGGAUUUUUGUGACCUUCUUAUAUGGUCCAACUUAUCCUGCCAUUGUUGGAUGGUUUCAUUUUAGCUCAAACUUCAAUUUACACACUGCUCUCAAUUAAGUGCAAGAAACAAGUUUCAUUUCUAUGCAUUUAUAACUAUUUGUUGUUCCUAUGCAAUUUCUAUCCUUCUAUUUCGUAAAGCUAACAUCAAGUUAAAACAAAAACAAAAAUAUGUGUGUGUUGACGUGCAGGUUGCAAUAAUGCUCAUAAAAAUGAAAAAGUAUUUUGAAAAUAGCAACAUAUAAAAUUUACAUUAUAGUGAACCAUGAAAUAUAAAAAAUGUAUUAAUUGCACACAUUUUCAAUUAUGUUGAAUUUAUUAUCAUAGGUUUAGGUUUAAAAUUAUUAGAACAGUGUAGUUAGGUAGGUGGUAAGAGUAGGUUUUAAACAAGUGAAAUUAGUAGUGAGAAUAUUAUUGGUUACAAAGCCUCCUCCUACUCCACCUCCAAACCCUCCUCCUCUACUUACACCUACUCCAAUUCCACCUCCAGUUUUGCAUGUAUGAAUUUGUUAGAGAAACAUUUUUACAAUGAUGACCACUAUCUUUUACUUGCCUCUACGAAAGGUAGCAAUUUUGAACAAAAUUGGGACCCUUUUGAGAUAAGAAAAGUUGGUAGUGAUAAUGACAAAUUAAAAUAAUUAAAUAAUAAUGGUCCCCUCAAAUUGGUCUUUAUAGGAGAAAGGGACCUCACAAAUUUAUUAGAGGUAAGAGGUGAGUGACAACAUUAUAGUUUUUUUAUAGUUUUUAAAUGACAAGUGUGUUAUCAAUUUUAUUAUUUGAUAGUAAAUGUGAAUUAAUUUCAUCUUGUGAAGAAAUCAAUUCAAACAUUAAGAAAUUUAUCGUCUAGUUUUUGAAACAAUGUUGAUUUUGUAUGAAGGUAACAUAAAGUCUCAUGCUCCUUCCGGUGUCUUAUCUAUACUCUUUUGAAAUCAUGAUGAAAUUUAAAGGAAAUAAAUUUUUAGUUUUUAUAGUGACUUUUUUUAGUUUUAAUUCUUCUGUUUUAUUUAUUAAUCCCUAUUAUUAUAAUUAUAAAAAAAUAAUCCUAGUAAAAUUUAUAUGUAGAUAAACUCUUUUUAGUUCUUAGAUUAUAUAAAUGAUUAUUAUUAAUAAUAAGUUGUUUCAAAAAUGUAAAUUAUUUUGCAGAUUUUAUAAAAUAAAGAAAGGAAAGAAAAUAAAUAUGAUUAUUUUUAAAUAAAGAAAGAGAAAAAAAUAAGUAUGGUUAAAUGUGGGUUAUUUUGUUCUAGGUUCUGAAUUGUUGGAGGAUUAGAAGAUUUAAAUCCUUUUAAUUAUAUUUUACAUUAUAUAUUUUUUAAAUGGGUUAAAAUACUCUUAAUAAUUCUAUUAAUUUUAUUUUUUGUUAUCUAUAAAUUUUUUUUUACAUAUAUUUAUAUAUGUCAAUUAAUGUUUUAAUAAUAAUAAUAUUAACUAUUUUUUAUUAUUAAGCUUUUAUUUGUUUUUAAUUUUAAAUAAUUUACAUAUAUAUUUCUUACGCAGGUGGAAAAUAAAGAAGUAAAAAAGAAAAUUAUAUAUAUUAUAAUAAAGUUUUUUAUUAUAUUUCUUUGUUACUGGCUAAACGAAAAAGAUAAUAAAAAACUGAGAGUACUUAUUGUGUUCUCUUAUCUCUAAGAUUAAUAAAUAGAAUUAAACUUAAUUAUAGUGAAUAUUAAUUAACAGUGUUUAAUUGAUGGGAAUCUUAAAGAAUCGAAAAUUGUAAUUUAUUGUGAGUAAGGUGCAUGAAACAGAAAGAAAAGAAGUCAACCAAUAUGACCAUAAAUACUGUGAUUCAACUAAUGCAGUGGUUUGUGGCAAUAAAAGAGAACUCUGCAAGGUCUCUGAAGAUGGACAGGAAUAUGCAGUCUAAAUAACAAUAGGUGUUUUAUGAGUAACAAUAGAUGUUUUUACUCUAAAAAUAUGACUAUCGUUAAAUAAUUAGUUGUUAUAGUGACUAAAUUUGAGACCAUUUUCAGACUAUAUAAAUUUUUUAUUUCUAAAUUAGUUUCUAUUACUGUGAAAUAGUUUCUUAAUUGGUAUUUAAUUAGCUACCAAUGUUUUAAUUACCAAUUAUUUAGAUUCUAAAUUUAGUAGCAAAAACCUUAGUUGAUAAUUAGAUACCAAUUUAGAAACCAUUUAACAAUAAUAGAAACUAAUUUAGAAACUAAAAAUUUAUUUAGUCCCUAAAAUGGUCUCUAAUUUAGUCACUAUAGCAACUAAUUAAUUUUUUUUCUCUAAAAUUGGUUUCUAUUUCAUGAUUUUCUUGUAGUGUAAAAUACACAAACUUCAUUUGUCACAUCAUAAACUUGUUAAUAUUGUUCUGAGGAUGUUUUACAUUAUAUCAAAAUUAUAAUGAUGCAAUAUAACUAUACAUUCAAUGAGGGACGAAAUACAGUUCUUCAUUACGUGAAACAAAAAUUAUAUUUAACUUUUAUAUUUAUGAGAUUUUUUUAAUAAACUCAUAAGAAAAAAAAUCUAUAAAAUAUUAAUAAAUUUUAUUUUUAAAAUCAAUCUUUAAUUUUAUAGUUGGGUAAACAAACUUUAAUUAAGAGUCUAACUUAUUAUGCAUAAGAGCUUUAGGAGUUGACUAUUAAAAAUUAUUCAUUCACUCCAUCAAGAAAAGAAAACGUUAUUUUAUUAAUGGUUUGGAAUUAAUACAUGUAUUAAUGUCACAUUUAAGGCAUGUACUUACAACUAUAUUUGAAAUAAUUAUGCUAUAGCAAAAAGGUACCAGCAAUAAUAUAAUAUAUUGUAGUUAAAAAAAAUAAGUUACUAAAUUAGAAACUUCAAAGUUAUAACCCGUUAUAACCAAACAAAUAUUAUAUUACAAUCAAUACAAUAUAUUUCAAUAAUGUAAUUAUUGAAAUUUUGGAAAGUUAUAUGUAUAAACAUUUGUUUUUUUAAAGUAACGCAGUGAUUGGGUUGAAAAAUUAGCUUUUAAGAGUAUUCAGAACUCUAAAGUUAUAGUAGUAGACUUGUUGCAAUUGAAUUUUAAACUAUUAAAAGAUAUUGUAUUGAAAAUUAAAUAAAACUAAAGGUUUGAUUAUUGUUUGUUGUUGGUAAAGUGUUUCUGGAAAGGAUGAAGUUAUUUUUCGAUUUGUAUAAUGGUUGAGAAAUUAAACUAAACCAAAUUUAAUUAGUUGUGUCUAUAUCAAUAAUGUUCAAUUAAGAUAUAUAGGCAAUUUUGUUUUGUAAAUUGUAAUAUGUAACAAAAGAAUAUAAACAAAGUAAUUUUUUUAAAAAACUAAUUAAAUCAAUUUAAUGAAAUAUAUAAAAAUUAAUUUUCUUCUAAAUUUAUUAUCUUUUUAACUAAUCAUAUUAUUGAUAUAAAGUAUUAUUAACUUUUUAUCAAUGACUUUUUCGUUAUAAUUUUUCAUCCAACGCUUCUUUCUUUCAUUAACAAAAUUCAAACUCAGAAAUUUACUUAAUAAGUUGAGUUUAGUAUUACUCAAACCAACAACACAAUUAUAAUGAGGGGUUGAAUUGAAAGCGGUUAAGUAACAGAAAUCCAAAAGCGAACCUAAUUAGUUUAUCUUAUAUAAAUUACAUUUUUAAAUGUAGAUUAAAAAUGUAUUAAUUUAAUGGAUGAUUUAAUUUCAUUUGUAAACUUUACUGACUUUUCAAAUCCAAAAUCUUAUUGAAAUAUAUAUUGAUUGUUUAUGGAUUAAAGAAGAUAAAAAGAGAGACUUCCACUUCUACCUUCCACCCUUCAAAAUAGGAACUUCCAAGAUAUUCCAAGAUACUCUCGUGUCCUUCCUUUUUAACAAUAACUUUUAAGACAAUGGUGAGGAUACAAAUGCCAAUACAAAAAAUAAUAAUUGAAGGAACGAACCCUAUGUUUCAUCCAUAACCAUGAUCUAAGUUAUGUCUGAUGGAGAAUUUCUUCAGCAUCUGGUAUUCCUUGUUUAAAGAUAACCAAGUUUCGUUGCUCCCAAAUUCCUCUUACUACAGCCACCCAUAUGCCUUUCCAUACAGAUUCUGCUUAAUACUCAAAUAUGCUAAGUGGAAAUUCUCAAAGUGACACUUCAAAUCCUUAUGUUGGACAAAAAUGAUACCUAUCCACCUAAAGCAUAGAACCCACACUCGUUGCGCAAUGGCACAUUCUAGGAAGAAGUGUUGAGAGGUCUCUUCCAAAGUUUGUCAAAGCGCACAAAUAGAUUAACUAACUACCACUCAUCUUCUGAUAAGGUUGGUUCUUGUUGGCAUUCUAUCCAACAGUAUUCUCCAAGCAGUAGUUAAAACAUUAGGCAAUGCUUUACUCUGCCAUAACUGUUUAAAGAGUCCAUCAGUCGGGCCAUUGACUUGAUUAGUGAGACACACACGUAAGCUGACUUAACUGAGAAUUCCCUAUAGUAUUCCCUCCCCAAAGUUGGAGGUAUGAUUCCUCCCUAUUCAAAACUUCCUCAGAGAUGAACCUUGACAUUUAUUCUUCUUGUACAAAUUCCCAAUCAAACCUGACCCUCAUCCACCUCAACCUCUAAUACCAAACUACGUCUUCCCACACACCUACCUCGCCCAUCAUCAUUCCCUAGUCCAAUGAUAUGGGAUACAACCUAAGGUACAAAUUAUCAAGUUUAUUAUCCAACAGUAUUCUCCAAGCAGUAGUUAAAACAAUAGACAAUGUUUUACUCUACCAUAACUGUUUUAAAGAGUCCAUCAGUCGGGCCAUUGACUUGAUUAGCGAGACACACACGUAGGCUGACUUAACUGAGAAUUCCCUAUCCCCUUCCCAAAGUUGGAGGUAUGAUUCCUCCCUAUUCAAAACUUCUUCAGAGAUGAACCUUGACAUUUAUUCUUCUUGUACAGAUUCCCAGUCAAACCUGACCCUCAUCCACCUCAACCUCCAAUACCAAACUACUUCUUCCCACACACCUACGUCGCCCAUCAUCAUUCCCUAGUCCAAUGAUAUGGGGUACAACCUAAGGUACAAAUUAGCAAGUUUAUUAUCACCAACCAAAACAUCUUCCCAGAAUGUUGCUCUGUUCUCAGAUCCAACUUUCCAAACUAAUGUUUUUUGGAACCAUCCUUGGUCUUCUCCGUCGCCACAUACUUUACUUAAGUAUCUCUACCACCAAGAUUGAAAUUUCACAUUGGUCUGGCUUCGCCUUGAUUCCAAGCUGUAUUUUGAUGCAAAAAUAUCUUCUCACUUUCCUUGUUCUUUUCUCACCAGCCGCCAUUUCCAUUUUGCAAACAAAACACUGUUAAACAUUCUGGUAUCUCUAAUCCCCAACCCUCCUUCCUCUAAGGUUUACAUACAUUCUCCCAACUGACCCAGACUAUUGAUGUAUGAUAUCUUUCCCAUGCCCAAAGAAACCUCCUAUAGAUACUGAUUAUUCUAUUACACACUGAUGCCGAAGCUUUAUAAAAGGAUAAAUCAAGUAGGGGUAAGACACAAAAUACCAACUUAAUAAAGCAAAUUCUUCUCGCCAAAGAUAAGAAUCUCCCCUUCCAAGUACUCAACCUAACACUUAUCUCAUUCAAAAUUAGCUCCCAGAACUGCUUUUUCCAUGGUUUACCUCCUACUUCUAACCCCAAGUAAAUGAAAGGUAUCCUUAUGAGAGUACAAUUUAAAGAUUUUGCAUUUCAUUUAAGGGAAUUCCUCUCAACAUUUGAUUUGUGGAAGUUAAUUUUCAAACCAGCGACCAACUCAAAACACCUUAAUAUAGCUUUAAUUGCAAUGAUAUUGGAGAAGGAGUCUUCACACAUGACUAGAAUAUCAUCCGCAAAUUGUAACAUGCAAGAUUCAAUCUCACUCCUUCCCACCUUCACACCUUUAAGUAGAUUCUCCUUAAAGCGCUUGUCUAACUAGCCCGCCAAAGCCUCUAGCUACAACAAGAAAGAGGAAUGAAGCUGAUGGAUCUCUCUGCCUCAACCCUCUAGAUGGAUAAAAUUCUGUCGUGGGGCUUCCAUUCACCAGAACUGAUACCGUUGCAGACUCCAAGCAGUCUCUGACCCAUUUGAUCCAUUUAUAGUGAAAGCCCAGCCUGUGUAGCAUAUCAUAUAAGAAAUUCCACCUUAUCGAAUCAUACGCCUUUUCAUAGUCCACCUUCAGACACAAUCCUUCCUUCGGAACCUCCUUAUCUCCUCAACCACCUCAUUGGCCACUAAGACGCUAUCUAACGUUCCUUUGUCCUUCAACUGGAUGUCAUCAAUAACCAUAGGUAGUACAUUCUUAAUCCGACAGUAUAACACCUUGGUAACAAUUUUAUAUAAAGCGCCCACUAGAGAUAUAGGUCUAUACUGAUCGAGAUUUAUGGGAUCUCUUACUUUAGGUACUAAGGUUAUAAAAGAGGCAUUACAACCCUCCGAAAAGCAACCUGUUUCCUGAAAACAAAGCACAACUUCCAUGAUGUUGUGCUUAAGAGUAUCCCAGUUAUACUUGAUGAAGUUAAAACUAAACCCAUUUUUGAACCUUCACACCGCCAAACCGCUUCCUUUACUUCUUUCCUUGUGACAUCAUAGAUCAUACUUAAGCUAAACUAACCUACAAAGGUAGAGUUAGUGAAUUGUUUUUCAAUCAAACUCAAAAGUGCGAUUAAACAUAUAAAAAUGCACUAACAUGUUGUUUUGGUUGAAACUUUGCUCAUUAAAUAAUUUAUAUAUAUAUAUAAACUAAACAGUUUCAUUUUUUUUAAUAAAUUGUUCAAACUUUAUUGUAAAAAUUGAGGUUAGAUUUCACAAGUGUUCACACCAACCUAAAGUAUUAUUAGAAAUUAAAAUUCAACAAAAAUGCUUGUAUUUGAUUCUCUUUUAUUCAUUAGAUCAAACUUGAUUGGUUUAAUUAAAAAAAUCAAACACACUAAACUAAUCCAAAUUUAUAUAAUUAUGACUUUACUUAAUUUAUUUUACAAGCUUGUAAACAUUCCUUUCUACUAAACAUUAUAGGUUAAUAUAUUAUUUAGUUGUUUCUAUAUUAACAAUGUUCGAGUAAGAUAUAUAGGCAAUUCUGUAUUCUAAAUUGUAACGUAAUAAAAUAAUAAAAACAGUUAAAGUUAAAAAAAUAAAAAAAACUAAUUAAAUCAAUUUAAUUAUAUAAAAAUUAUUUUUCUUCUAAAUUUAUUAUUUUUUUAUUUAAACAUAUUAUUGAUAUAAAGUAUUAAAAUUUAUCAAUGACUAAUUUUUGUUAUCAAAUUUUACUGACUAUCUUUCGUAUGGUCUUUCAUCCCAAUGAUUCUUUGUUUCAUUAAUAAAAUUCAAACUCGAAAUUUACUUUGAGUAUAGUAUUACUCAAACCAACAACACUUAACUAUAAUUAACUUAACUAUAAUUAGGGGUUGGAUUGAAAACGGUGAAGUAACAAGAAGAUAAAUCCAAGCUAACCUAAUGGAUUAAAUUGAAAAUUAAAUUAAAUUUAUUUAAACUUAAACAAUUACAUUUUUAACUGUAAAUUUAUUAAUUUAAUGGAUGAUUAAUUUGAUUUGAAAACUUUACUUAGACUUUCCAAGUCAAAAAUCUUAUACUUAAAAAGAAUAUUUAUUAAUUUAAUUGAUGGUUAAUUUGAUUUGAAAACUUUACUUCUAUAAAAGAAAUCCUAAAUUAAAAGAAUGCAAUGCAAUCUAGAUCGGUUGUAUAUGGAUCAAAGAAGAUAAAAAUUUCAUAUUUCUUUCUAACCUUUUGUAAUGAAGACAAAAGAAAAAAAUAGAGUCACCAUUUGUCAAAAGAUAGAAAUGCAUGGUUGUCGUGCUCGCAUUUGCUUACAAAAAUACUAGACAUUUGAGCUUGAAAUAACUGAGUCUAGAGAAGACUCAUAAGUCUUCAAAAUUAAUAGAAUGGAACCAAAAUGAGUCUGAGUCAUGUAAGCAUUGAGUAUUUAAUUCAAUCUUUGGAUUUUUGCGAUCUUCUUAUAUGGUCCAGCUUAUUCUGCCAUUGUUGGAUGGUUACAAAGCUUUGCUUCUCAUGCACAACAUCUGGUAUAGAAGAGUAGAAACCACUACAUGCAAUAUAACUUAAUUCAAAUGUUAUAAGCAUAAAUUAUUUUCUUUAAAACAAGACAUGGAAUGUGUAAAACAAUUUCAGUCACUCUUGCAUGCCAAACUUUUAUCAACACUCUUACUUACAUUAUACUUAGUGUCCAUGGCCAAAUCCAACUCCACCGCCACAACCACCACCACUAACUCCAAAGUUAUCACCACUAACUCCAAAGCCAUCACCACAACCAAAUGCGCCACCUCCACCUCCGAAUUCCUCCUCCUCCACCUACACCUCCUCUAAUUCCACCUCCAAUUUUGCAUGUAUGAAUUUGUUGAGAAACAUUUUUGGAGUGAUGACCACUAUGUUUUACUUGCCUCUAUCAAAGGUAGCAAUUCUGAACAAAAUUGGGACCCUUUGAAAUAAGAAAAGUUGGUAGUGAUUGAUGAGCAUAUGUUUAUUCACACUCACUAGCCUUAUUCAUAGAUUAUUGGACUAUAAUAAUAAAUAAAUCCAUUGUUUUAAUUAAUAUUCAUAUAAUUGGGUUUAUUUUGGCCUUAACUAUUAUCUUUGGUAAUUUUGUGUUUUUAGGGUAAAUUAUCUGAAGCAUCUACCUUUGUGAAUGAGCCAAAUAUGCAAAAGUCCAAGUUGCUUCUUUGAAUCAAAACAGAAAACAAAUUUUGAGGAGAAGAAAGAGAAAAUAAAAGCUACAAGAUUCCAGAAACAGAAUUGGAAGCAAAUCUUCUGCAAAAUAAAAAGAAUUAUGGAAAGUGGAAAUUGUUUACAAAAUCUAAACUGCAAUAUUUUCCCAAGAUCCUUGGAGCAGAAAAGCCCUAUAAAAGGACACAAGCAUCAAGGAGAAGAGGGAGAGCUUCAUAGGGUUUUCUUAGUUUCUUUUCUUCUUUAUAAUUCUUUUGUUUUGCCUCCGCAUGGAAGGCUAAACCUUUUUGGUUGAUUCCUUUGUAAUUUCUCAUUGAGUUCUGAGGUUUUGUUCUAUAAAAGUUUCGAUUUUUAAUUCUCUAUAGCAGUUGUUUUUAUUGUCUAAUCUCCUGGAAAACUGGAUUUUGUGAGAGGUUGUACUUGAACGCAUGAUUGAGAGUCUUCCUUAUCUUAAACUUUGGUUUCUUAGUUAGUUCGCAUUGUUCUAAUUAAUUUCUUGGGCACAUGAUUCAAGAGAGAGGAGGUAAGCAUUCCCAUGGAGUAUACGCAUGGAACAAAGUGGGUAUUGAUUAAACCAGUAGACGCAUGUUUUACUGGUGAGUUUCAGUUGAAUUAGAUUGGCGCAUGUUCAAUCUGGUUUAACUCUGUUGAAGGAUUGAGAAAAGAUUAAUCUUUAGAGAACCUGUGAAGAAUUCAAUGGUGGAAGAACUUGGGAUCAACCGCUUUUUAUUUGCUAUUUUAAUCUCUUUUAUAUAUUUUGCACAACUAUCUCAAACCCCUUUUUCAUCUUUAUUGUUAUUGCUAACUUUUAUUGCUUGCAGGUAGAUUUUAAACCCUGAUCAACUGAUUUUACUAUUGGAUUCGUUGGGAGACGACUUGGGGACAUCUGUCCACAAUUAUACUAUCAUCUCUCUAGUGUUAGACAAGUCUACGCUAGAAUCAUAUUAAUUUGACAGCAAAACGACAGCUAUCAGUGAUAAUGACAGAUUUUUUUUUUGGAAAAAUAAAAUAAUGGUCCCCUCAAAUUCGCCUUUUGUAGGAGAAAGAGACCUUAUAAGUAACAACAUUGUAGUUCUUAAAUGACAAGUGUGUUAUGAAUGUUAUUAUUUCAUAGUAAAUGUGAAGAAUUUUAAACACUCAUCCAUCACAAUUUAUGUGUUUUUAAUCUUUAAAUAAUUUACAUACUUAUUAUGUAGGUGGAAAAUAAAGAAGUAAAAAAGAAAAUUCUAUAUUUAUUUUUAUUAUAAUAAAGUUUUUUAUUAUAUUUCUUUGUUACUGGCUAAAUGAAAAAGAUAAUAAAACCUGAUGGAGUAACUUAUUAAGUUCUUUUAUCUCUAAGAUACGACUUUAGGAAUUAUAAAUUGAAUUAAACUUAAUUAUAGUGAAUAUUAAUUAACAGUGUUUAAAUGAUGGGAAUCUUAAAGAAUCGAAAAUUGUAAUUUAACAGUGUUUAAUUGAUGUGUGCAUGCAUCUAUAUAAAAUUAUUUCUCUAUUAUUUCUCUAUUUUCUGUGUAAAAGGAAAUUGGUGUCUUUCUGUUAGAAUUUCUUUUUUAAAUUAUUCUUCGAUUUUCAUUUUUUUCGAUCUUAUCUCAGUGUUGAUGGGUGAAAUUAUUCAGUUUAGUUAAUUGGCUUGAUUAUACAAGGAGAACAAAAUAAUAUAAAAAACAAAGAAAACACAGAGUAAUGUGCAUUCAACUAAAAAUUUGCAUGAUCCAAUAUUAAUUUACAGAAAUACAGUUAAUAUACAUUUCUUUCUUUAUUUCUUUUUCUCUCUAUAUAUAUACAUGACAUGCUAAUUAAAACUUAAAUGAUAAAUAUUUUUUACAAAAUUGUUAAAGAUGGAACUAUUUCAAAAAUAGAAGCAAAUGCUUGAAAUAAUAUAAUUUGAACUUAUUUCAAAUUUAAAAAAUUUAUAUAUUUUUAUUUUAAAAUACUCAUAUCUUAAUCAACAGAAAGAGGCAAAGUAUGUAUUGUAGCAUUGAAGACAUGGCUUGGUGUGUGACUAAUUGAGACCAUUAAACAUAAAGAAUCCAUUUAAAGUGGGUGGUAAUAAAAGGGUAGCAAGCGUAGUUUGCCAAAACAGGAAAAAGUUCAAAACAACAUAAAAGCUCUAUGUUUUCCCCAACUCUUUAUAAUAAUACACGAGGCCUUGAAGGAGAUUCAUGACUUUUUUGUUUCACUGUCUUCCUAUAUAUUAUGUACUUGGUAUCUAUUAUAGGAGAAAAAACACGAUUCCACCAACCUUUCCUCUCCCUUCUUCCUUCUAUUCACAUCCAAGUUCAUACAAAACCCCAUAGAAAUGAGAGGUAGAGAUAUUCUCUAAAGCAACAAAACAAAAAAAGUUACUAGAAAUUCAACAAGACCCUCCUCCUCCGUCUCCUCCUUCUCAACUCUCUUUUGCUUACAAUCAUAAGAAAAAACUGGACACCUCAAAACCAAUACACUCCACCAUGAACAACAAAGCCCCAAGUUUUGAUGAUUCUAAUGUUGAUUGCAAUGUUUCCCCAAAUCAAAAUCUAAGACAACAACAUGGCCAACAACAGCUCAGAAGACAAGCUAGAAGAAGGCUUACUAAUAGGCCUUAUCAAGAAAAUCUAAUGAAUAUGACAGAGGCAAGGAAAGAGAUUGUCACUGCCCUGAAAUACCACAGGGCAACCAUGAAACAGGCCAAUGAGCAUCAACAACUCCAACAACAUCAUCCAGUGCCUUUCCAACCUCCAUUUUAUUCAAGGUUUAGCCCGGAUGGAAGAUUCAAGGCUAGGAGAAGGCCUAAGAUGUUUCUACCACCAUCAAACAAAAUUUCACAUUACUUAAAUGAUCUUUCCUUCUCCUCACCUUUCCCACCCCUUCCUUCUCUUCAUUUUCCUCCACCUCCUCUUCCUCUUCCUCCUCCUCCACUUUCAAAUUUAUACUCCAACACCAUUCCUUCCCCAUUUUCUCAUCCACACCCUCAUCCAGAAACUCCCAAUUUCAUACUUCCAAGUCAGGCAUUGGGAUUCAAUCUUAAUCUACACAAAUUCAACAGUUUAAAACCGCCCCUUUGCUUAAUAAGAACACUUUAGACCCUACCAUUUUGCUUAAUAACAACACUUUGAAUCCUACCCUUUUGCUGGAUAACAACAUGUUAGAUCCUACCCUUGUGUUGGAUAACAACAUGUUGGAUCCUAUCCCUGUGCUUAACAACAUUUCAGAUCCUACCCGUGUGCUGAAUAACAACAACAAUUUAGAACCUGCCAUUUUUCCUUACAACAAUAAAUCAUCACUGUGCUCUUACUCAUCUCCAACAUUAACUUUCCCUCCAUUUGUGACUGGUCAAGACGUUCCUUCGAUUGAAAUAUCACAACCACAUGGAUAAGGAGUUUCCACAGUGAUUAAUACCGUUGAAUCCAGUACUACAACCCAAGCUAGUGGAAGCAUGCAUGUGGACAUGGAUGAAGAGGGCAUGGAAGAGAUCAGAGCAUUGGGCGAGCAACAUCAAAUGGAAUGGGAUGACAAUAUGAGUCUGGUCACUUCAGUUUGGAGGUUCAAUUGCUUACACCAAAUGGAACAUAAUGCACUUGAAUUCAACAAUGAAGUUGAGAAAUGUCAUGGGACCUUUGAUGAUGAACUUGAAUUUUCUCUAUGGGAAAAUUAAUGAUCUGUAAGACAAGCUUACAAUAGUGUGCUCCCUGGAUUUAGUACACUGGAUUUUGUCGGGUAGCUCUGUUAGGGUUUUGUUUUAGUGGGAAAAUUACCCAUUUUUCCCAACACUAGGGGAUAUCCUGGUUUUGCUACUUGUGGAGGUAUUUUCUGUGGGAGUAUGAGGGAAUUUAUUGGAGCUUUCUCUGCGUUUCUUGAAGUUCAGAUUGCUCUAAUUGCUGAGUUUUAUGAGGUUAUACAUGCUAUGGAGGGAACUCAAAAGAUGGGGCUUACUAGUGUCUGGUUGGAAUGUGAUUCUGCUUUGGUUUGUGAUGCGUUUACUGCUAGGACAAAUGUUCCUAGGAUGCUUCGGAAUUGAUGAAACACUUUUCUUAAUUACUGUGGGAAAAUCAGGUUUAUGAUUACUCAUCAUAUUUUUCGUGAAGUGAAUGUGCAUGCUGAUAAGUUGACUAAUUUAGGAUUUAUUCAUAGAAAAUAAUUUCAUUGUUUUUUUUUUCAUAAGCAACAUUGAUAUAAUAAGUUUUCAUCUAAUCUAUAAGAAAAUGAUAAAAAAAUGGUAUGAAUAAGAGAUGUUUCUUAUUCUCUUAUGUGUAUAUUACAUCACUCAUGUAUAGGAAAUAUAUAGGGAGUUUCUAUCUCUCAAAUUACAAUCUAAUUAGGUAAGAUACUAAUCAUGAGAUUCUAUAAUUAUUAAAUUAAUUGCAUAUAAUUGGGUACAAUAUCGUCAAAUAUUGCCUACAAUAAUUGCAUAUAAUUUGAUAAUUAUUAUUUCCUUAAUAUAAUCUAUUAUUAGAAUUCUUUAUGAAUAGGUAUAGUCUACCUAUGUAUCGUUUUUGUUAACAUAUGAGUUUUGGCCUAAUCCCCUCAUAUUUUUGUAUUUUUUUAAUAAUACUUUUUUCACGGGAUGAUAGAUGAUUGUUGUUACUUGAGAUGUCAGUCUAGCUGAGAUGUCAAGUUGCAUAAUGAUGUUUAACAUGAAAGCAUUUUUAUAAAACUAAACAUUUUCAUAUUCUCCUUUUUAAUAAAAUUUUCAAACCUGUAUACUAAAAACUGAGGUUAGAUUUCAUAAUUCUUCGUAGUUGAAUCACACCAACCUAAAAUAUUAUUAGAAGUUAAAAUUCAAAAAAAAAUGCUUGUGAAUAAUUAUCUUUCAUUCUUUAGAUCAAAAUUGAUUGGUUUAAUUUUUUAUUUAAAAAAUCAAACACAGUAAACUAAACCAAAUGUAUAUAAUUAUGACUUUACUUCAUUAUUUUACAAGCUUGUAAAUGUUUCCACUCUUUUCUACUAAACAUUCUAAGUUAAUAUAUUAGUUGUGUCUAUAUUAAUGAUGUUCCAUUAAGAUAUAUAGGCAAUUCUGUUUUGUAAAUUGUAACAUGUAGUAAAGGAAGGCUGAUAAGAAAAUGUAAUAAUAAACAAUGUUAAAGUUAAAAAAAAUAAAAAAACUAAUUAAAUCAAUUUAAUGAAAUAUAUAAAAAUUAGUUUUUUUUAAUUUAUUAUCUUUUAACUAACCAUAUUAUUGAUAUAAAGUAUUAUUAACUUUUAUAAAUGACUAAUUUUUAUUAUAAAUUUUCACUAAUUACUAUAUUUGAUAUUUUUUUUAUUAACAAGAAAUAAUUAAAAUAAAUUGACUCACUUAAGGAUGGUCAAACCAUCAUACGGAGUAAGAAAGGACAAAUAUUUUCACAUACACAUAAAAAAAUCAUAAAGAAAUCUUCAACCGCCUUUCUCAACUCUACCUAUUACAAAAGAAACAAAAAAAAAUCCAGAAACAACUCUUAUAAUGACAUUAAAUAGAAUAUAUACCUACCAAGAGUAUCUUUGAAGCAUCAAAAACCAAACCUUAAUUUGUAUUAGAAAAAAAACUUAUGAUUGAUCACUCCACCUUUACAUAAACAAUUAUUUAUGUGUCUUCAAAUCUCACUAACCUAUAAUACGAUUAAUUGAGUGAAAACAUCCAGAAUUUUGGAACGUUCAAAAUGUGACCCAUCGGCCAGUGAGACAAUGGGGGAUAAGCUUCUUCGUCGAGAGGGAAACAGUCCGGAUCACCAGCUAAGGUCCCUAAAUGACCACUAAGUGAUAAAGGAGGAACGGUGCAGAGACAACUAAGAGGUUUGUCUAGGGUAGCCACCCUUGAAAGAGUGCGUAAUAGCUCACUGAUUGAGGACUCUUGUCAAGGGACGAUAAGAUCAACCGAACUCACUCUUAAGCAAUAGUAACAAAGAUUUCAAAUUAACCAAACAACUUUACAUCCGAAGAAUAAAUGAUUUGUUGACUCUCUAAUAUCCGCAUAAACAACAAAUAUUGCUCUCGGUCGUUAUCUCUCGUCUCUUCAAAUUUAUCUUAUCCGCAUAAGCAACAAAUAUUGCUCUCGGUCGUUAUCUCUCGUCUCUUCAAAUUUAUCUUAGAAACUAUCUUAUUUUUAAUAACCCUCCAAGAUGUACCUUUGCUUUCGUCUUUAAUCAACCGCACCUCACCCCUCACCUUCUUCCUCAUCAACCUGCACUGUCCCUGCCACCGCACACCCGCCGCGCACCUCCGUACCGCCGCCGCACCCCGAUCCCGCGCCUGCGCCGUCCGCCGCGACGCGCAGCCCCAUCUCCCGCAACAGCGCCAGCGCUGUUCGCCGCCACACGCGACUCCAACGCUACCCCCGCUACAGCACCACCGCCAACCUCCGUCCCCGCGCUGCCGCCUUUGACGUCUUCAAGAACCCCCAACGUUUUCCUCCGCUGCGUCGCGAGCCAUUCUCGGCAUCGCAGAGAGUUCCGCUCCAACAGGCACGCUGUCUUGCUCUCCUUCUGAUUCUCCGCCGUGACCUCCACUGGCACCGCCGCCUCCCAUCCUGUUCGCCGCUCCUCCAGACCAAACCCUAACUGUAUAGCCACGUCAGCAAUUAGGUAAAAAGUUAGGAUUUUCCCAUCCAACUUUUUGUACCCAAUUGGGCCUGAACCGGCCCACUACUACACAUUAAGUGAUUUGCCCAUAUUUCAGCAGGAACCAUCCACGUUUUUCAAUUUAAUAUUCCUCUCUUUCCUUAAUUCCAAAGUUAGUUUUGAGUCUUUCCAGCAGAAUUAAUUCCUCCACUAAAGUAUAUGCCACCUUUUCAAUACUCUCCCUUCAUCGGAAACUGAAGAGGCUUCUCCUUUCAUCCAAUGCUUCUUUCAUUAACAAAAUUCAAACUCGAAAUUUACUUAAUAAGUUGAGUUUAUUAUUACUCAAACCAACAACACUUAACUAUAAUGAGCGGUUGAAUUCAAAGAGGUGAACUAACAAAAAUAUAAAUCCAAGCUAACGGAUUAAAUUGAAAAUUAAAUUACUUUAACAUAUAUAAAUUACAUUUUUAACUGUAGAUUGAAAUAUUUAUUAAUUUAAUGGAUGAUUUUAAUUUCAUUUGAAAAUUUUACUCACUUUCCAAAUCCAAAAUCAUGUACAUAAAAAGAAAUAUUUUUUAAUUUGACGGUUACUUUGAUUUGAAACAUUACUUCUUGAAAAGAUAUCCUAAAUGAAAAGAAUGCAAUGCAAUCUAGGUUAGUUAUGUAUGGACCAAAGAAGAUAAGAAAAUCUCAGAUUUCUUUCUCAUCUUUUGCAAUAAAGAGAUAAGAAGAAGAUAGAAUCACCAUUUGGCAAAUAGUUAUGAUUGGAUCAAAGAAGAUAAGAAAAUCUUAGAUUUCUUUCUCAUCUUUUGCAAUGAAGAGAUAGGAAGAAGAUAGAAUCACCAUUUGUCAAAAGGUAGGCAUGCAUGGUUACUCUG